UAGUUCUUGUUCCUCCACGGCGUUGUAUCUGCUGUUGUAUCUGAUGCUCGAAGUAGAUGUCAUGUGGCGGCGCCCUCCCGUGCUGCGAAACCAAACUGACUUGGCCUGAGUUUCGUCGUUGUUCCAUGCUCCCGGCUAUCCUAGAUGGUAGGUAAUGUCGGAACACAGGGGGAUGGUGAGGCAGUGUUGUUACCAUAUGAUCCAAGGGGUACUUUUUCUUUCUUCAUGCUGAACCUUGUACUGUGUAGCUUCUAUGCUGGUGUUUCAUGCUAGUGAUUUUUAGCAGUAAAUGCAUGUAACCUGACUAUUUGAAUGAUUUGAACAAAGUUGUGCUCAUGGUGUCACACUACAGAGUUCGGAGCUCGAUUUUAUUUAAGCUUUCCUUGCGGAGCCAAAAACAAACUCUUUUAUCCCUCUUCGGAAUGUCGAUAUAGCCACAUUUGGAGCCAGUUACGUAUUCAGAAGUACUCCCUCCGUAAACAAAUAUAAAAGCGUUUAGAUUACUAAAGUAGUGAUCUGAAUAUUCUCCGAUGAACUCUUUAAGCUUCACAUAAACAGGAGCCAAACAGUUAUGGAUCUGAAAGCAAAAGGUCAAACUUGAUGCAUAUGCCGAUGAACUCUUUAAGCUUCACAUAAACAGUAGAGCCAAACAAUUAUGGAUCUGAAAGCAAAAGGUUAGAUGCGCCUGGAUUAUUUUAGUGCAGUAUAUGGUGAAGACGAGUCUUCAAAUAUGGAUGUUCAACUGCUUACAAUUGCGUAUACAGUGGCUUUACAAUUUUAAACAGCAAUUUUUAAAGAUGCACAUGCCUUUGUUUAGUUGCAAACAUUAACAGUUCUCACAAUCCAGCAAUUGCGUAUACAGUGGUUUCACUUUUGAUGAAAGAAGUGGUACGCAUCCAAUGUCAUCUGCACAUAAAACAGCAUGUAGCGAUUAAAUAUGUCCAUUUACUAGAUCGUGCACCAAUAAUAUUUUUUUGAGAAAUUCGUGCACCAAUAAAUAAUUGUAUUCAGGUGGACAGGGUCCGUAUACGCCCAAAUCGUUCGGCCGGUGAUGCUAGACUGGGCUGGGCUUGGCCCAAAGCGUAUGAUGCCGCACUGCGCGUACGCGAGGGAGAUCGCCCUUGGUUGGAAGACGCGCGACGAUUCAGCGGUUGCUCCGCUCUGCUCUGCUCGUCCAAAGCCCUAGCCGCCAGGUCUGCCAGAAAGAAAAUUCCCACAAAAAAAAUGAUGGUCUUCCUCCGAUCUCCUCAUCGCUACCUGUGAUGGCGAUAGCGUGGGACUUGAGGUGGGGGCGCAGUACAUGAACUAAUCGUGGGCCGACCAAGAAGCCUAGCUCCGUGCUCUCCAGUACAGGUUAAUCUUAAUCUUUUUUUCUCCGUGUUUAUCGGAGUCUACUAAGUCUUCUUGCUAUGGCUGUUGAAUUUCUUGUUUGGAUUUUUUAGUCUAGGAACGGGCCUGUUCGUAUGAUGUGAAAAAGGGGGACUGUUCAUAGGGUGUUGUCUGGCUUUCCCAAGCAAGCAUUGAUCAGGAACUUGUGGUAAACUAGAGUCAGGAAAAAUUCGGUUUCAUGGAUUUUCGCUGCUAUUACAGUGAUUCAUCAGGUUUGUGCCUCAAGCCUUGUUUGGUUAGAGGGAUCUACCGGGAUUACAGUUAGGUCCACAAGAUAGUUAGGGCAUAUUUCACAGGUUAUAUCCUGAAUAUUCUCAAACUAAAUGCAUGCCGAUGAACCCGGUAAGCUUCACAAAAACAGUAGAACCGAAUAAUUAUGGAUUUCAAAGCAAAAAGAUUGAUGCGCCUGGAUUAUUUUAGUACAGUAUAUUAAUCAAUUAAGGAUGAUGAAGACGAGUCUUCAAAUAUGGAUGUUCAACUGCUUACAUUAAGGAUGGACAUGCCUUCGUCUAGUUGCAAACAUAGACAGCUCGCACCGUAUUAUCCAGCAAUUGCGUACACAGUGUGCAGACUACGCAUCCAAGAUCAUCUGCAUAUAGUACAACAUGAUGUACGUAGAUAUUAAUAUGACCAAUUCAUAUCAUGCAGGAAUAACCGCAUUCGGCUAGCCAAGAUUCAGAUCCGCCCAAAUCAUUGCAAACUCUGACAUCACAAAUCACAAGGUAUGUAGUGCAGUUAUGCGAUAAACAGAAUGUGUACCAGGUAAAUACAAGAAGAGUAAAUGAAUAAGUAGAACAACAAGGGGAGAUUUAUAUUACAGAGAAGGCCGAUCAUCAUAUAAAUACAUUUGAACAGAAGGGCAUGUUGGGUGCACAUCGGCUGCCCUCCUCAAGGCAGACUCGACAUCACUGUUCUUGUGGACGGAGGAUGUGACACCUACACGGAUGUGCUCGAGGGCUAACAGGUGCUCCAUCCCUAAUGGUGUAGCACCACCCCACCCAUCAUGUACUUGUAGAUGGAGCUGUCGCAGCUUGGGCAUCGCCCCUGCCUCGAACUCCAUGCAUACCAUAGCAGAAUAAAUUACAAAAAACCAUCACAAUUGAGCACCCUAAUUCAGAAAACCAUCACCAUUCGAAUUUUUUUCAAAAAACCACCACCAUUGUGCUAACAAUUUUCAGAAAGCACUUAUCACUGGAUUAUCACUGUAUUAGAGACGUUUGACAAAAAACUGACCGCUGGGUCCCAUGGUCAGGUGCCACGUAGCGAGGACGAGAUAACGCCGCUACUAAACUAAACCGGCCCACCUCCCACCUCACGCAUCUCUCCCCACCCCGACUCACCCUUUGCUGCCGUCCAGGAUCCAACUGCCGGCGGCGCCCACUGCCUGAACGAGGAGGUCUCAUAUGGCCGGGUCAACGGAGACGCCACACCGUCGCUGCAAAGCCGCCGCGGCCUGGCACCGCGCGGCAACUGCCCCGUCGCUCCAUGACCGCCGCCACUCUCCAUGUCCCGGCGACAGAUUCGAGCACUGCCGGCUUCCGUGCGCCGCCCGGCGACGAAUCCAAGCGGUGUCGGCCCCGAGCGCAGCCCCGACGGCGGAUCCGGGGCGAUGCGACCUCCCGCUGUGCCAGCGGGCAUGCCGACCGCCGGAUCCAGCACGCGGGAGGGCAACGGCGGAUACCAGCUCACGACGGCAGCAAGCACCAGGGCCUCUCCGGCCUCGUCCUCCCGCCUGAGCCCCCACCUGCAGGUCGACGGGAGGGACAUCCAGUGGAGACCGUCGUGGCUCCCCGCUGCACACUGCUGUGCGCCAGGGCUCCUUCACUUCGUGAUCUCGCCGGCGUUGUGGGGCAGCUCCUGGGCAUGAGGAGAUCCAGCCCGGCUCCACUCCGAUGGGCAUGACUGGAGGCGGUGGCUGCCACCGCCGGGGGACGCAGGCGCGCCUGCCGCACCGCGCCGCCCGGGUCGGCCACGACCAGCCACCUCGCUGGCUGUAGCCUGCCACCUGCUGCUUCCUUCGCUUGCCGCCGACCUCCAGCGAUCCGUGACAUCUCCGACGACGGAUCCAAACGGCACCGGCCACCCAGGCAGUUCUCUUUCCUUGUCCGGAUGCCGCCGGCAGAGAGCUCACGAACUGCUCGAUGGAAUGCCAGAGAAAGGGACGAAGAGAGAUAGGAGAUGCUGACAAGUGGGCUCACAUCAAGUUAACGGUCCAUGCGGACGGAGUCAAUUUUUCAUGCCAUGUCAUCACUUGCAAGUGGGAUCCAGCAGUCAGAUUUUGCGUCAAACAUCUCUAAUCCUGUGAUAAGUGUUUUCUCAAAACUGUUAGCACAAUGAUGGUGGUUUUUUGAAAAAAAAUCGAAUGGUGGUGGUUUUCUGAAUUAGGGUCCCCAAUUGUGAUGUUUUUUUGCAAUUUACUCACCAUAGCAUCAUCAGAGACGAGUCUAAGGUCUUCCAGAACUGGAAAUAAUCCUGUGCGGACUAUUGGCGGCACCACUAUGUUCAGUGAUACUCGACACAGAGAGAAACAUGUCAAUGAGGGAGGGCAGUUUUCCGACAACGUGAACCUCAUUAGUCGAUAGCUACUCAACCGACAAAGUCAGGCUGCGGAGGCAAUGGAGGUCGCCAAUCCAAUUGGGAACUCUCUUCAAUAUCCAUCCUAGCAUAUAAAGAACCUCGAUAUGGAGAGGAGGGUUGGAUAACGAGUACAUCCGGCAACAAGAAUGUUUAGAAAACACACCAUUAGCACUGACAAAGAGGUAUUUGAGGUCACGGAGCCUCGCAAUUGAGGAGACCAAAGCAUCAACUAUCUCCUCCGCCACCAUUUUGCCAGAGAAGCUCAGCAUUCUCAGACCAGUCAGCUCAUCGCCAAUGCCCUUAAUAUCCUCGAUAUGGAGAGGAGGGUUGGAUAAUGAGUACAUCGGGCCGCAAUGAUGUUGAGAAGACAAAGCACUGACCUUGAGGUAUUUUAGGCCAUGGAGCUUUCCAAUUAGGGAUACCAAAGCAUCAACUUCACCCGCCACCACAUCAGUAUAAAUCCUCAACUCCCUCAGGCUGGUCAGCUCACCAAGGCCCUUAAUAUCCUCUAGCGAGAUAUUCAUACAGUGUAGUGCACGCAAUGAUUUUAUGUUGGAAAUCCCUUGAGGAGGACAUGGUUGAAUCGGAAGGAUCAGACGAGACAACCGUGGCAAGCAAACAAUAUCUGACGGGAUGCUUCGUGCACCACCAGAUAUUUCCAGGGUCUCCAAAUGAACAAGCCCGCGAACUUCAGCAGGCAGAUCUAUUGAGCUUGGGAAUGUAGAAACCUUCAGAUAUCUUAGCUGAAACAAUUGACCGAUUGCAGUGAGGUCGACUAUCGUACUCCUCGUAAAUGGGAAUAUAAACACCAGCACCCGAAGGUACUUAAAUAGUGAAAGAGGAGGUGUGUACUUGGACUCUCCAAAUUGUGCAAAUGAUCGAACUUGUGACAUGCUAGUAUCAACGAUCCUCAAUGUUGCAUCAUUGGUGCUUGAUUUCAAGGACAACCUACGGACCUUGUACUCACAGGCAUGCAUUCUUGCCAUGCCUUCACAAUUAUAUGCCACGUUGAUAAAAUUUUGGUCUGCACAUUUGCUGACGAUCAGAUCAAGCAUUAUAUCAUGUACUCUGCAAUACUCCACCUCUCCAGACUUUGAGGUCUCAGCCGGCUGAAUCAGGCUUCUAUUGAUAAGCUCAUUAAAAUAACUCUUCCCGGUAUCCUCCAAGUCUGACCCAUGAGAACAAUUGACAAGGCCUUCAGCUAUCCAUUGUAAAACCAGAUCAUGCCUCCUGACCAUUUCGUCUUCUGGAUACAUGCCAAGAUACAGGAGACAUGGGCGAAGAUGAAGAGGAAGAUGCAUGUAGCUAAGGUUUAGUAUACUCCUCAUCUCUUCUAAGGUGGGAUUUGUGGCAAUCUUGGCGCCCAAAGAAUUUCUUAUGCUCUCCCACUUGUCCGUUGACCUUGUUUGAUGACUAGCUAAUAGACUAGCUAUAGUGAUGAUUGCAAGUGGCAAGCCUCCACACUUCUUCAAAAUUUCAACCAAAACUUCUUUUAAGUGUGAUGGGCAGGCAUAUCCGGAACCAAAUACUCUAUUACAGAACAACAUUCUUGAGUCUUGUUCUUUGAGGGGUUCCAUUCUAUAAACACACUCAUGGUCAUUGUGACACGCCCAAAUAGCCACAUCCUCCACUCGUGUAGUUACUAUUACUCUACUUCCAUUCCCGACUUCUGGAAAGAUACAACUCAUGAUAUUCCAUGCUGAUUGAUUCCAUAAGUCAUCAACUACAAUAAGGUACCUGUUAAUUUUCUUUUACACAUUAGCUAUACUGAAUUAUGAUAUGACUACAAGUUGCAGACGAAAGCACCAAAACAUGAAAGUGAACAUAGACAAAAAAACAAGGGUUCAAGCAAAUUGAUGAUAGUCCCACCGUCAAUUUAGCAUGUAAGUAGGCUAUAAAGAUUAAAAUAUUAUAUUUUCGCUGAGUUGGAUAAGAGAGAAGGAAAGCAAGUUGUAGAUUAAGAGACAACUGCAACAGGGACUCCAAAAAACAUUUUGAGAGUGUGAGGCGUGACAUAGAUUAAUAAAUUAGUACUUCUUUGUAGCUAACUACUAUACAUGUUGGCUAUUAGCUUGCCUAUAGAUGACAUGGCAACAAGAUAUAGCCAACACUUUGCUCUACUAUUAACCUUGCUCUUAUGCUUUUAAUUAAUAGUCACGAGUUGGCUAUAGUUACAGCAGGCCAAUAAAAUACUUAGGGCACUCACAAUGACAAUUAGCAUAGAUAAAUGCUGACGUGACACUGUGUAAUCAAAGAGGAAAGAGAGUAGAGUUGCAGUAUGCUUAGUGUAGAUAGGGUCUUUUUAACUCGUUUCUCUUCUUUCCUUCUCUCCACUACUAGGCCACGAUGUUGAGAUGCAGAAAAAGAUCCAUAAUAUAAUUGAUACAAUAUCGUUUGGAUACGACCCUUAACAUAUAGUGCAUUGAGUUGAUUGUCUCUAAGAUUUUUUCACUACCUAGGAUGACGUGUUAAGAUACAAUGCACCGUGAUUGCCCUUAAAACAUGCUACCCCCUCCAUCUGGGUUGUAGGUGUUGGAUUAUAGAUGGGUUUUGGCCCAUAUAAGGCAAUAAUCCCUGGUUAACUUCUAAGGCCCAUUUAGGUGCAUGAAAAGUGACGGGAAGUUUAGUAUCAUACUGUUAGUGAAAUGAGAGUGAGACUCAUUUAUAAGGGUUGCUCUACCACAUGCCAUUGAAAGCUUGAGAAGAGGAGUUACACGUGCGCUCCUCCUCCUCCGCCACCCGCCUCGCCUCGUCAUGACGCGCGCGCGCCGACGGUUGUGGGAAUGAGCCGAGCCUUAUUUUUUAUCCUGCCCGCAUCGACACCAUGGACGGCGACUCGUGGAUUAGAUUAAUCGGUAAGGUGCUAAUAUUUCCAGCAAUCCAAAGGGUUGGCAGACAAGGACCACCUUGUGGCUCACAACAAUGAACGUGUCCUGGCUUGGUGGUGUGUCCCCCAUGAAAACGAUUGCUCCUGAACAGGAGAAGGCGUUUAGGGAGGCAACCACCAUCUUUGUGGGAGCAAUUCUGAGUGUGAUUGGAGACAAGUUGAUUGAAACAUAUAUUCAUAUGCGAGUUGCCAAAAACUUGUGGGAUGCACUUGAAGUUAAGUUCGGCACAACCGAUGCUGGAAGCGAACUAUAUGCUACAGAGCAGUUCCAUGAUUACAGGAUGGUUAGAACUCCCUCCUGGAUGGAGGAACUUUGCUACUUCUCUCAAGCACUUGAGACAAGAAUUCUCUGUUUUGGACGUCAUCGGUCAUCUAAGUGUUGAGCAAAAGAGCAAAUGACUCACACAUAAAAGGGGCAGAGGGUUCUUCUAGCGUCAAUGUGGUGUAGAAGAAUUUCCACAAGUUCAAGGGAAAGAACACUGUACAGCAGAAUACUACCUUCAAGAACAAGGGUAAGAAGAAAGUCAAAAAGAGAGAUGACUGCUUUACUUGUUGUUGAGAGGAACAUUGGGCAAACAAGUGUCCAAACAAGUACAAGAAAUCAGGACAGGACUCCAAGCCAAUCAAUGUGACUAUGAGCAACAAUGAUCGAGCAUCUAGGUAUGGUAAUCUGUUUACCGCACUUCCAAUUUAUCAGUCCACGGAUUGGUGGGUUGACACAGAUGCAAAUAUUCAUUUGUGUGCUGACAUGUCUUCGUUCUCUUCUUACCAGGUCACACGAGAAUGCUUUCGUCCUGAUGGGGAAUGGCUCGCAUGCUUUUGUUCAUGGUGUUGGCACGGUAGAUCUAAAGUUUACUUCGAGAAAGAUCAUGCAACUGAAGGACGUGCAACAUGUCCGCCAUCAAGAAGAAUCUCGUUAGUGGCUCCCUUCUAUGUAAAGAAGGGUUUAGGUUAGUAUCCAAGUCCAAUAAAGUAGUCAUAUCUCGAUAUGUACUGUUUGUUGGAAAAUGAUUGAUUGCGGAGGUUUGUUUUGCCUCUCCCUAGCGGAUUUCUAUAAUAAAGACAUGAACCAAAUUCAUUCUAGUGUGAAAGAAUCUGAGGUUUGGCAUUCACGUCUUUGUCACAUUAAUUUCGGUUGUAUGACGCGGCUAGCCAAGAUGGAUCCAAUCCCGAGUUUCACUUUAGCCAAAGGCUCUAAGUGUCAUUCGUGUGUGUAAGCAAAGCAACCUCGUAAGCCUCACAAGCCUGCGAAGGAGAGAUACUUGGCACCACUAGAGCUCAUACAUUCAGAUCUGCGCGAGAUGAAUGUGUUGACUAAAGGAGGAAAGAAGUAUUUCGUGAUGUUGAUUGAUGAUUCCACUAGAUUCUGCUAUGUGUAUUUGUUAAAUACUAAGGAUGAGGCUCUGCACUACUUUAAAAUCUGUAAGGCAGAAGUUGAGAACCAACUUGAAAAUAAAAUAAAAUGAGUUCGGUCUGAUCAUGGUGGAGAGUACUUUUCUAAUGAGUUCAAUUUAUUCUGUGCGGAACAUGGUAUUAUUCAUGAGAGGACGCCUCCCUAUUCACCCUAGUCAAAUGGGGUUGCCAAACGGAAAAAUCCCACUCUAACAGAUUUGGUUAACGCCAUGUUAGAUACAUAGGUUUUAUCCAAGGCAUGGUGUGGUGGGGGGAGGUUGUAUUGUGAUCAUGUCAUGUCCUGAAUAAAGUUCCCACGAAGGAUAAUGAGACAACUCCCUAUGAUCAAUGGGAGAAGAAAAGAACUACACUCACUUACUUAUGCACUUGGGGCUGUUUGGCGAAAGUCAACAUCCGAUAACUAAAAGGCGUAAGUUGGGUCCGAAGACUAUGGACUGUGUUUUUCUAGGCUAUGCCAAGCAUAGCAUUGGCUGUAGAUUUCUAGUGGUGAAAUCUAAUGUACAUGAUAUGAAGGUUGGUACGAUCAUGGAGCCUAAAGAUGCUACAUUCUUUUAGGAUAUUUUCCCCAUGUGAGAUAUGCAAAGCACUUCUUGACUAGAAUCUGAUGAGACUCUUGAACCUGCCAUUCCGAUGGAAUAUUAUGAGCACAAAGGUGAUGAAAGUUCCAUGAAGGAUGACGAGGAAGCUCCUGUUAGAAGCAAGAUACAAAGUACUGCAAAGUCCUUGAUGAUGAUUUCCUCGUGUACCUGUGGAUGACACCCCUAGUUCCAUUUCAGAAGGUUAUGCAUCACCAGAUGCUGACUAUUGGAAGGGUGCGGUCCGUAGUGAGAUGGUUUCCAUCUUGGCUAAUGGGACAUGGGAAAUCACUUAUCGUCCUUAUGGUUGCCAACCAUUGGGAUGUAAGUGGGUGUUCAAAACGAAGCUUAGAACCGAUGGUACUAUUGAGAAGUACAAGGCUAGACUUGUGGCCAAGGAUUUUACCCAGAAAGAAGAAGAAUAUUUUUUAGAUACUUAUUCACCUUUGGCUAGACUGAUAACCAUUCGAGUGUUACUCUCGUUGGCUGCCUCACAUGGUCUUCUCGUCCAUCAGAUGGAUAUUAAGACGACUUUCCUUAACAGAGAGCUAGACGAGGAAAUUUACAUGCAACAGCCAGAUGACUUUGUAGUAAAUGGUCAGGAAAGAAAGACGUGCAAGUUAUUGAAAUCUUUGUAUGGCCUGAAACAAGUGCCUAAGUAAUGGUAUGAGAAGUUCAAUACAACUCUGAUAUCUGUUGGCUUCGUUGUUAACGAUGCUGAUAAAUGUGUAUACUAUCGCUAUGGUGGGGCCGAAGGAGUUAUACUGUGUCUGUAUGCUGAUGACAUGCCGAUAUUUGGGACCCACCGCAAAGUCAUUGAGGAGGUCAAACUUUUCUAUAUCAUAACUUUGAGAUGAAAGAUUUUGGCGUGACUGAUGUUAUCUUGAACAUCAAGCUACUGAGAGAUAAUGAGGAUGAAAUUACACUUCUGCAAUCGCACUAUGUUGAAAAGAUUUUGAGUCAUUUUGAAUAUUUUGAUCGCAAAUCUUGUGCAACACCAUAUGAUCCUAGCGUGCGGAUUCGAAAGUUUGAAGUCACGGCUAUAGAUCAAUUGAGAUACUCUCAAGUAAUUGGUUCACUCACAUACCUAGCUUGUGCUACUCGACCUGAUAUCUCAUAUUGUUGUCUCCAAACCGAGCCGGUUUGUUUCCAAUCCAGGAAUGUGCACUGGCAUGCUGUUGAGCGAGUGAUGCGUUAUUUGCAAGGUACUGUGAACUAUGGAAUUCACUAUUCUGGGUACCCGAUGGUACUUGAAGGGUAUAGUGAUUCAAAUUGGAUAUCUGAUGCCGAUGAGAUGAAAGCGACAAGUGGAUAUGUGUUCACACUUAGUGGCAGUGCUAUUUCCUAGAAGUCUUGCAAGUAGAUGAUCUUAACGAGAUCGACUAUGGAAGCAUAACUUACAACAUUAGACACAUCAUGCAUCGAAGCAGAAUGACUUCGAGAGCUUUUGAUGGAUUUGCCAAUGGUUGAUAAGCUAGUCCUGGCUAUCCUUAUGAACUAUGAUAAUCAAAUAGUGAUUUACAAGGCUAAGAGUUCAAAGGACAACAUGCAAUCCACAAAGCAUAUAAGAAGAAGAUUAAAAUCGACCACACAUUCAAGAAACUCCGGAGUAAUAGCGUUGGAUUAUAUCCAGACGGCUAAGAACCUGGUAGAUCCCUUUAUGAAAGGGCUAUCAGGAUUGUGAUAGAAAAUGCAUCGAGGGAGAUGGGCAUGAGACCCAGGUAAGUUGCCAUGGGGGUAACCCAACCUAUGUGAUCGGAGAUCCCGUGAAUUAGAACCUGAGAAAGCAAUCCAGCGGUCAACUGGGGAGAUUAUCCUUACUAACCCACUCCGUUGAAGAUGCAAUACUCUCAUAAUAUGUAAGGCAUGAUGAAUUUUGUCUUAAUGUGUUCCAAAGCUUGUAUAAGCAAGAUGAUAUCCUACAUAACAAUCUUUGGAAGGAACACACCUAUGUGAACCCGACUACUGACCAUAGUCUAUGAGAUAGGGUAAUCUCUAGGAAGCUCAUGAGAAGGCCAGGAGUAUGACUAAUAAGCUCCACCCAUGGGGUUUACCCUUCGGCAGCCACAUAUCAGCUGACACUAGGUGAAACUUCUGCACGCUAAACUGAAAAUUCAAGGUAUAGUCCAUUGUUCAUUUAUGAAGAAGUCUAAUCCUGUUGCUCUAGGUGGAAGUUCAAGUUAACAGUCUCAAUUGAAAAUUCUGGUAUAUCAAAACAUUGUUUGGAACAGUUGAUAAACUUAUGUGCCUCGAGAUCUGGUGGGGGAUUGUUGGAUUAUAGAUGAGCUUUGGCCCAUACAAGACAAUAAUCCCUGAUUAAUAUCUAAAACCCAUUUAGGUGCAUGGCAAGUGGUGGGAAGUUUAGUACCAUACUGUUAGUGUAGUGAGAGUGAGACCCCUUUACAAGGGCUUCUCUACCACAUGCCAUUGGGUGCUUGGGAAGAGGAGUUGUAGACGCGCCUCCUUCGUCGCCGCCCACCUUGCCUCGUCAUGACACGUGCGCCGCGGGUUGCAGGAAUGAGCCUAGCCUAGCCUUAUUUUUGUCGUUCAGGAAUGGUUAAUUAAUCUCGGAUUAAUUGAUGAGUCGCUACAGUAGUGCCAUUGUCACUAUUGGAGCCCAUAGCACAACAUGUGAUCCUGAAAAGCCAGACUGCUUUCCUCAAUGGCCAUAAUAUUUUGGAGGGUCCGAUCAUGCUUCUCGAGAUAGUACAUGAGCUAAAAUGUACCAAGGGGAAGGGUGUUCUGCUUAAGCUCGACUUCGAGAAAGCAUAUGAUCGAGUGAACUGGGAGUUCGUUCGGGAGGUGCUCCUCAAAAGGGUUUUGAGGUGGGCUUUGGUCACCGCAUUAUGCACCUGGUCAGUUGUGGGCAGACCGUGGUGACAAUUAAUGGAGAGACGGGCAAGUUUUUCAGAAAUAAGAGGGGUCUCCGCCAAGGCGACCCUAGCUCGCCGCUCAUCUUCAAUUUCGUAGCGUACACAUUGUCGGCUAUGCUUGCAAAGGCCAGAGCAGCGGGGCACAUCAGAGGGUUGGUGCCCCACCUCAUCCCAGGGGGAUGACUCAUUUGCAAUUUGCGGACGAUACUAUGUUGUUAUUCGAGCCUGACAACCAUAGUAUUGCCUCCAUUAAGCCGCUGCUCCUCGCCUUCGAGAUUUUGUCGGGGUUGAAAAUCAACUUCCUGAAAAGCGAAGUUAUCACUAUGGGGAUGGACCAGCGAGAGAGUAUGCGGAUUGCAAACCUACUUAAUUGCAAGCUUGGGGGAUUUUUGAUUAAGUAUCUGGGUCUCCCGGUCACCCAUCGGAAGAUUCCAAUCUCCAAGUCGGAACCGUUAUAUGGUGUAAAGUGGCAAACAGGGUUAGCCCGUGGCGAGGAAGGUUUAUGUUGUCGGCAGCUUGGUUGAUCCUCACCAAUUCCAGCCUUUCCUCCCUCCCACUCUUUACGAUGGGUAUGUUCCUACUGGCGGAUGGGGUGCAUGUGAAACUAGACACCCCGCGCUCUAGGUUCUUUUGGGAAGGAGCAGGAACAAAGCGGAAAUACCACCUGGUUAAGUGGGCGGCGGUAUAUAGACCCCAAAAAUCUGACGGCUUGGGGAUCAUCAAUUCCAAGCUCAUGAACGUUGCCUUGCUUACCAAGUGAUGGUGGCGACUCGCCCAAAAUGAGUCGGGACUUUGGGCGGGUCUGCUGUGGGCAAAGUACUUCCCGGACGAGAAUUAGUUUAAAGCUAAACCCUUGGGUUCGACUUUCUAGAACGGGAUUCAGGCAGUACGUCCGGCGUUCACGGUAGGGGCCCAUUUCUCCGUAAAUGACGGAAUGUCAACGCGCUUUUGGUUAGACAAAUGGCUCAAGGACAGCCUGCUGUGGCAGUUCGUCCCGUUACUCUACCGUAUAGCCACGGGCAUCAACACAAUGGUGGGUGACGCCUUGCAUACCUCACCACCGGUGAUUUACUUUCUGCGGCCCCUCUCAACGCAAGAAGCGACUAGUUGGGACGUGUUGCAGCCAAAGAUAGCAAACCGACCUCUCAGCUUGGGGGCUGAUGUGGUCUCUUGGGACUUGGCUACGUCCGAAAAGUUCUCGGUCAAAUCAUUGUAUGACAAACUGACCGAAGGAAGCGCCUUGGACAUAGCUAGGGGGCUCUGGAAGGCUGGGCUUCCGCUCAAGAUUAAGAUAUUCCUUUGGCAAAUGUUCAGAAAUCGCCUCCCAACGGCUGACAAUGUGGCCAAGCGCAAUGGCCCCUCCUAUGGCUCUUGUGUAGUGUGCGGGCUCAACGAGGACGCUAACCACGCUUUAUUUCAAUGCGUCUUAGCUAAGUUUGUGUGGAGUGCCAUUAGGGAUGUAUUCCACCAGAACUGGAACCCAAUGUCGGGUUCGGAUCUGUUGGCAGUGCUACAAACCCAGAAGGGGGUUAAUGCUAGGAUGCUGUGGCGUUGCGUGGGUGCGCUAUUGUGGUCCUUAUGCACGAUCCAGAAUAAGAUUACAAUCGAGAGAAAAAAACCUUGCUCAUCCGGCUGAUGUAAUUUUUAAAUGUCAUCUAUUUCUUCAGAUGUGGACACCGUUGGGGAAACAACACGAUGCUAAACACACGAGGGCCACAAUGGAGAAGAUCAGCAACAAUAUCUCGAGGCUCCUCCACUCUUGGUAGCUGGAUCUUGGCUCUGUUGGCGUCGGUUGCGUUUUGGGGAGGCAAGGAGUGAUGCUUCAGUUCGCCUAUAUUAAUCCAUGUCUUGUCACCUUAGUUUGGACCUUGUUAUGCAACGCUCGUAUUGGCCUUGGGGCCUGUUUGAACUAUAUGGUUGUGUAAGUUAAACUUAUGUGGAUGCUCCCUGAUGGCUUUACUAAUUUAAAGCUGGACAUGUCUAGCGUUUUUGUCCUAAAAAAAGAUGUUGGACCGUGGGUUCUUCGCGGGCUUGAGUCCUGUCUUGCGGAGUGAACCUUAACUCACUCACUCCCUUCUACACAACCCUAGAGAGCAUGUGCCUCCAUGUCGUUCGAUAUCCUGCCUAGAAGAACGGAAAUAAGGUUUUUAGGGAGUGUCUCGAUGUGGUUGCUCCCGAUCCGUCCCUGUCUCUGUCCUCCUCUGCUUCCACUACUUCCCCUACAUUGAUAGCAUGGCUGACGACGCCGCUGCCAAGAAGAAAUCCACAUACGACGCCAAGGCUGCUGUUGUCGCCGCCGCGUUGGCAUGGACAAUUGGAGUGUUUGAUCUGUUCAUCCCUACUAGUUCAUGUGCUAGCCAUAUAUGAUGCGUUGAUAGAUGUUUUGUGUCUAUGUAUACGUGCUCACAUGCUUAGGUAUCGAUAUGAGUUGCAUACUAUGAUUGUCAUGCUUACAGUUUACUCAUGGGUUAGAUUAAUCAAUAAGGUGCCAAUAUUUCCAGCAAUAGGCAGGCAUGGGUUUUUAUGUCUUCAGUUUAACUAACGAAAUGUGUGUAAUAUGACACAAAAUGUGUAUGUUUAGAAAUUUUGAUGAAAAAUCCAAUGAUAUAUUUUUUAGUGGCAUAUAACACAUGUCUCGCUGGACGCGGUUGUUCUGAUCCCGAGUUCAUGUGAGCUCUGGUGAACUGUGAAAUCAAAAAAAAUGGGAAAGAAAUUCAAAAACAAAUCUGAAUUUUUUUGUGCCAAACAUUGAAAAUGUUUUGAUUAAUUGCAAAGUUUAAUCAUUGGAUGGCAUUUGUGGAAAACGUGAAAAAAAUCGAUGCUCCAAAAUGUUAUUCUCAAAAGCAUUUCGGAGCAUCGAUUUUUUUGCCAUGUCUUCCACAAAUGUCAUUUCAUGAUGAAGCUUUGCAAGCAAUGAAAACAUUUGUCAAUGUUUGGCACACAAACAAUUCAGAUUUUUUUAAAUGUUUUCCCUUUUUUUUGUUUUUACUGUUCAUCCAAGCUCACGGGAUCGGAAUAGCACUUUCGAUGUUCGCCAGUCAUAUUGAUGACCUCCCUUGCAUGCCUUACAAAAAAUUAAUGUACUAAAGAGUACAGUAUGACACAUGAAAGAGGGUUUGCGGAUAACCUACAAUCUGUGUUGUGUUUCUAAUUAAACCCUUUAUUUCAAAACAGAAGGUGUUUUUCUACUUUGUUGUAAGCAAUAUUGUCUAAAAGACCAACCAUAAGCAAAAUUUACGAACUACAUAUAAAUUUAUGGUUUUGCAAUUGAGGAUUUCUGAGGUUACUGAUAGAGAAAUAACUAUAUAUUUAACUGAAUCACCGUUAAGCACCAUUUGACCUGAACAUGGUACUCAUACAAGUAUAGGCGGGACGAGAAAAUAUUGGGUAGAAGGCAAAAUAUAACUAACUUUAAGUUGACUGAGCUAUAAACAAACCAUCAUGUACUUUGAAACACAGAUAAUAUACUUCUUAUGAGGUCAUGAUUUCAAAAGCAAGAAAGCCCAACAAGAUCUAGCAUUAGGUUAAAACACAUCUUUGACAUUAGUGUAGCCACUAUACUUAAAAAUCACUAAACUAUGCCAAUUUAGAGGAAUGUUGUAAAAUGAUUCAAUUUUCACAGGUAUUUAACCACUGAAGUGCACAAGCGACAGCUAGAAGAAAAUUAUUACCUUUUAUGUGUGAGAUGCUCUCUAAGACGAGCAAUGAUAUCUUGUACCUCGUUAGUACGAGAUGACUCCUCCACCUUGAGAUCCAACUGUAGGCUACGGAGGAGGUUUGUCAUAUCAGGUCUUUGAGAAACCGAUACAAAUGCCUUACAAUUGAAUUGCUCUCCUAUCUCAUCAUACACUUGUUUGGCAAGUGUAGUUUUACCAAGACCUCCGAAUCCAACAAUAGCCACCACUUUGAGUUUUUCUUGGGUAUUUUGUAACCAACUUUUAAGUUCUUUCUUUGGGCCAUCAAUACCCACAAGGCCCGCUACCUCCUUGUAGAUCGCCGACAAACGAGGAUCAACAGCAAUGACAUGAGUAGUAGAGUUGAUGCUAUCGUCAAUCUUGUACCUUUGCACGGAGACAACAAAACUAGGUAUUUACCAAUUUCAUGUGAAUAGUAUUGGAAGUGAGGAGCUCCUAUAUUAAUGAAGAAAUGUCAAUAUUGUACCUCAUGCGUCGUUCAUUUGCCUGUAGAGCAAGAGCCUUGAGCUCUUCCAUCCGAUCAGCAAUACGAUGAUGCUUUCGCAACAUCUUGAGACGUUUAACCGUCUUCUUUAUAAAGCCCGACUUGGCAUCGGCACCUCCAAGGUCUCGCAUGAAGUCAUCGAUGCAAUUCUCCAUGUCAUAGGACAUCUCCCUCACAUGAUCCCUCCAGUUCUUGGCCAAGGGAUCCAGUUCAUCCAUGAGCUCAAGCUUCUCAAGGAGAGCUUUCAUGGCGCUAAGCUCGUCCUUGAGGAACGAGGCCUGCUUCCUGACUGACGUGAGCUUCUUGUACUCGUCGCCCAUCAGUGCGGCGAGCUUGCCGAUGAGGGGGUUCAUCGCCCCCAUGGUGGCGCUGACCACCGGUGCAGACAUCUCAAUACCUAGGCUCCUUCUGGUGUUGGCUCAGCAGCCCGCUCGCGUGCUGCAAGUGAGCGUGACGGCGAUUCAAAGGGAGGAGCUGCAGUGGUGCCGGAGAAGUCCAACUGGGUGAGCCGGAGCUCAAGAGGUGGAUGGCCGUGGCGUAUCCGCGGCCGGAGGUGGAAUAGGUGGUGGACUGGUGGUGCAGCGGGAUAUGGGGAUGCGGUUGUAGGCCAGCGGGAUAUGAGGAGCCCCGGCAAAUAGCAGCGUGGGGAGUAACGCGUUGGAAAAUUCAGCGUGGAAAAAACAGGUACACGGAGAUUGCAAGGCUGUGAAUCCAUUGUGCUGUUUCCUGGAAAGCAGCCAAGAAGACGAUUCCUGGAAGCUACUCAAGGAGGAGGUUGAUCUUAUAGGUUAGUAUCGCCACUGUCAUUUUCCGCGUUCAAUUCCCGGACAACGACAGCCGGAGACGACCCGAGCAAGGAGGUCGUCGCCGGCAAUUCCAGGAAGCUUCCCUCAAAGACUCGAACAAAGGGGAGUCGAUCUUACAGAUUAACAUCACCAUUGUCAUCUGGAAGGGCAACGACAGCCGGAGACAAACCGGUUGGGUGAGGUCGCCGUCGCGGACGACCAAUUCCUAGCUGCUCCCGUUCUCCAAUGCUUCAAUGCAAUGGUCCAUGCUCCCUGUUGCCAUAGGAUUGCAAGCAUUUGAGUGGUCUGAACAAAGCUUUUGUGCUACUGAUGCCGCACUUCGCAUUUUAGAAUGGUGCAUAUAUAGAUCAUUGUUAAGCUUUUUCGUAGAUAAAGUAGAGCCCCAAAACCACUACCUGUUUUUAUCUCUCUUCGGGAUCUAUUAUUAAGCUUUUCCCUAGAUAAAGUAGAGCCCCAAAACCACCACCUGUUUUUAUCUCUCUUCGGAAUGCUGACGUUAACAUAUUUCGAACCGGUUCUGAUUUCUGAAUUACACUCCCACAUAGUCAUAUUUAAAGGAUUAUGUUUUUUUCCUAAGGACAGGUCGUAGGCUUGCAUAUUUUGUAGUACCGAAUUGUUACUCAUUGGAAAGGAAACAGCUAGUGCACUCUUGACUAUAAUGGCGCAGAAGAUUAAUCAAAUAAGGCUGCCGGAGAUGAUUCCUCAAACAUCAAUGAUCAGGAAUGAACAUCAAUGUUAGAGUUCACAGCCAAGCGUUAUUCUGGAUGUACAAGACUCAACUAUUACAGGUUUUAACCAAGUGAUCACCUGCGUUCACAAGAUAAUAUAGAGAUAACAUAUAUACUACCUCCGCUCCGAAAUAUAUGACGUUUUAGUAGGCUAGUACAGGCAAAUAUACAAACGUCAUAUAUCUUAGAACGGAGGUAGUACAUUCAGAUCAUGCAGGAACUGUACUCAGGAAGUCAAGAUUCAGAUAUACAGCCAAAUAUACACUCUGACAUGAUAAAUUACAUGGUAUCAUGAGCCAGUAAAUACAAGGAAUAGUGAAUAAAACAAGUUAAACGGAGAACAGCUUAAGUUACAGAGAAGGCCAAUCAAGAUACUACUAGUAGAUUGUAACAGGAGGGUAUCUUGGGUGCACCUGUGCGGCGUUCCUGAAGGCAAACUCGACAUCACGGUCGUCAUGGACGGAUGACAUGUUAUCUACAUGGAUUUGCUCGAGGGAUAAGAGGUGCACCAUACCCACUGGUAUAGCACUGCCACCACUCCACCUAUCAUGUACUCCUAGAACGAGCCUUCGAAGCUUGGGCAUAGCCCCUGCCUCAAACCCCAUGCAUGCCGUUGCAUCAUCAUCACGAGACCUGAGAGCAAGACACUCCAGAACUGGGAAUGAUCCUGUACAGAUUAUGACAGCACUGUCUUGAGGAAUACACAAGACCUUGAGACUGAGAUACACGAGGGAUGGCAGCUGCCCAAGAACAUGAACACCGUCAGUCCGCAACCGCUCAACACACAGAGACAGUCUAUGGAGGCAAUGAAGAUCACCAAUCCAUUUUGGAACCUUGUAGAAUGGCCAUCCUCCCAGACGUAGAUUCUCCAUACGGAGGGGAGGAUCAGAUAUUGAGUCCAGCAGGUCGACAUAAUGUUGAAGAUUGCAGGCAAGGUAGAGAAAUUUGAGGUCACAGAGCUUUCCAAUGGAGGAGACCAAGGCAUCAACCCCUGCCUUCAGCAUAUCAAACUUGUAGGACUUAGUGAGUGUCAGUUCCCUCAGAUUAGUGAGCUCGCCGAGGCCCUCAAUAUCAUCCAAUGAGCUCUUGCCCAUGCAAUAACAACGUAGAGUACGUAGCGAUUUCAUGUUCCCAAUCCCAUUUGGGAGUCCUGUAUCACGCGGAAGAAUCAAAUGGGACAAGCGGUGCAACAUGACUAUAUCUGACGGGAUGUUUUGUGCUGUUCGGCAAUCUAUAUCAAUUGUCUCCAAAUGAACAAGCCCAUGGAUUUCAGUAGGAAGCUCUAUGCUGCCUGAUGCUGCUGAAACCUUCAAAUACCUAAGUUGAAACAACUGGCCAGCAGCAGUGAGGUCGACUACCAUCUCCCGGUAAUCUGGAAAUUCAAAGAGAAGCACACGUAGAUACUUAAACUCCGAGAGAGGAGGUGUGUACUUGGACUCGCCAAACCAUGCAAAUGAUCGAAUUUGUGUUAAGCUAGUAGCAAUGGUCCCCGAUGUUGCGCUACCAGCACUUAAUUUCAGAGAUAGUCGACGGACCCUGUAGUUGCAGGCAUCACGUUGUGCCAUGUCUUUGUAGUCAUAUGCCACACAGAUAAAAUUAUCUUCCCCACACUUGCUUAAGAUCAGAUCAAGCAUCAUAUCAUGAAUACUACAUGACAACACCUCCCCACAUAUGGUAUCUUCAGGCUGAAUCAUGCCCCUAUUGAUAAGCUCAUGGAAGUAACUCUUUGCAGCAUCCUCCAAAUUUGAUCCAUGUAAAUUACUGACAAGCCCUUCAGCCACCCAUUGUCGGACCAGAUCAACCUUGCUAAUCUUACGGUCCUCUGGAUACAUACCAAGGUACAAAAAACAUGCACGGAGAUAAAGAGGAAGAUGCAUGUAGCUCAGGUUUAAUAUACUCCUCAUCUCUUCCAAGGUGGGCUUUGUGGCAAACUUGGCGCUCAGUGAAUCCCUUAUGCUCUCCCACUCACUCCUUGAUCUUGCUUGACGACUAGCUAAUAAGCUAGCAAUAGUGAUGAUUGCAAGCGGCAGUCCACCACACUUCUUCAAAAUUUCAGCUGAAACUUCUUUAAAUUGUGGUGGACAGCCAUCUUCAGACCCAAAUACUCUAUUAUAGAAUAAACUUCUUGAGUCUUGCUCUUGGAGGGGAUUCAUUUGGUAAAUGCACUCACGGUCAUGGAGACACGCACGGAAAGCCACAUCACCCAGUCGUGUGGUUACGAUUACUCUACUUCCAUUACCAUCUUCAGGAAAGGCACAACUAAUAAUAUUCCAUGCCGACUGAUCCCACAAGUCAUCGACUACAAUAAGGUACCUGUUGAAAUUUUGUACAAUUCUGGUUAUAAGUUGCCUCUGGAAAAGUUUAUGUUUAUAAAAAAACUUCGCUAUUAACUACUCCCUCCGUUCCAAAUUACUCAUCGCAGAAAUGGAUGUAUCUAAAACUAAAAUACAUCUAGAUACAUCCAUACCUGCGACAAGUAAUUCGGAACGGAGGGAGUAUUUAUGAGCUGAACUUUUCAUGGCCAAUAAGUAACACAAGAUUUGGCACUGUCCUAAAAGAAAUCUCCGCGUCAUUAAAACAACUAUUUAAAUUUAUGCCAAAUGUUUUCAACUUCAGAAACUAGCUAGCCCAUAAAAGUGCAGCAAUGACAACUAGAAUAAAAAAGUACCUCUUAUGCAUGAGAUGUUCUCUAACACGGUCGAUUAUGUCUUGCACCUCAUGAAUGUGAGAAGACUCCUCCAUUCCGAGCUUUAGUUGCAGGCCACAUAGAAGGCUUGUCAUAUCAGGCCUUUGGGAAACUGAAACAAAUGCCUUACGCUCAAAUUGCCCACCAAUCUUAUUGUACACUUGCUUGGCAAGUGUAGUUUUACCAAGGCCGCCGAACCCUACAACGGACACUACCUUGAGUUUUUUCUCAGCAUCAAUCAACCAACUGACAAGCUCUUCUCUGGGGCCAUCAAUACCCACAAGGCCUGCAGCCUCCUUGUAGAUUGCAGAUAUUCGGGGAUCGACAGGCACAACAGUGGAGCUAUAAUCAACACAAUCGUCAAUCUUGUACCUCAUGCGUCGUUCAUUUGCCUCCAGAGCAAGAGCCUUGAGCUCCUCCAUCUGCUCAGCAAUGCGAUGACGCUCCCUCAACGUCUUGAGACGUUGAGCUGUUUUCUUGAUGAGGCCGGCCUUAGCAUCGGCACCUCCGAAUUGGCGCAUGAAAUCAUCGAUACAAUUCUCCAUGUCGUAGGACAUCUCUCUGACAUGAUCUCUCCAGUUCUUGGCCAGCGGAUCGAGUACCUCCAUGAGCUCCAGCUUCUCGAGGGCAGCUCUCAUGGCGCCGAGCUCACGCAUGAGGAACGACGCCUGCUUCCUCACCCCCUUGAGCUUCCUGUACUGGUCCCCCAUCAGCGUGGCGAGCUUGCUGAGGAGCGGGUUCAUUACCCCCAUCGUCGCGCUCACGGUUGACGCUGACGUCAUCUCGAGCCGAGCCUCCUGUCCGUGUUGGCUGGCCCAACAGCUACGUGUACUGCAACUGCAAGUGAGCGGGGCGGCAAUUCGAAGCGAGGGGUGUAGAAUACGGCGAUUUGCCGGAGCAGCCGGCGGCGAAGUCGAGCGGCCAGUCGAGGCGGAGCUCAGGAGGUCGAGGCUGGAGACGGUGGCUGGUCGUGAUGCCAGGAGGCCGGGCGCCGUGGUUGGGAACCGGGAGGUGGAUGGCCGCACCGGAUCGAUCUGCGGCCGGAGGUGGGCUACGGGGAGGUGCGGCGGCGGUUGCCGUCGGUGAUGGCGGGGUGAGAGUAGUACCGGAGCAGCAGCGGGUUGCGAUUUGGGGGAGAAGGAUAAAGUCAGAGACGCGUCUGGAUAUGCAGAGUGGGAAAAAUGACAGGUUGUGAUUUGUGGACUGAAGGAACGAAAUGCUCCGUGAUUAAGGGCAUCUCCAGCCGUUCGGCCCCCGAGGGCGCCUAAAUAGAGCGAUUUGGGGGUGUGCCGACGCUAGUUCGGUUCUUGGGGACGACCUAGCUCCCAGUCACGCCCCCAAGUGCUGGCCUCAGAAUGCGGGAAAUUUAAAACUUGAUCGUUCCCGCUCUUAAAAGACGCCACAAAUCCGGCGAUCGGACGUAGUCUGGCGUUAUAAAAAACAGAGCGUCGUAUGCCGCAAGUUCGCGUGCAUGAUUCACUCGGCGGGGUCGGCUCCAGGCGUUGGCGGAGUCGGCGUGCGCGGGCUCGGCGGUGUCGGAGCUGCUUCGGUGCUGGGCUGUGUCGGCGCGGCUUCAGCACUGCUGGGCGGCGACGUAGAGGCGUCGUUCAGGCUUGGCGUCCGUGUGGUCGUGGGCGCGGGAGCUUGCGUCGUCGGCGUUGCCGUCCGCAUCUGGUUCAGGAUGAGGCCGCGCUCCGCCAUGUACCACGCCCUGAGCUCCUCGUCGUCGCUCUGGAGCAUGUCCGCCCCACCCAUCAGAAAAGAUAUGUCGGUGUUCCUCUUCUUCGCAGCGACGUUCGUCCGGAGCAGGUCGAGCUUGAUGGCGAUGUUCUUCAUCAGCGACGACCACCGCGCCUCGGUCUUCUCUUCACGUAGGACGGCCCGGGCCUGGGCGUCGGCGAGGCAAUGCUCGAUGGACUCCUGCACUCGCGCGGUUGCCGCGUCGGCGUUUUUCCCCUUCUUUGCCCAUUUGUGGCCGUCCGGCCGCCCCUCACUCGCGUCCGGAGUCGUCGCGUCCGACUUGUAUGUCUCCUUGGCCUUGUCGAGGGCACGUCGGACUUCCACCCACUUCUCGCACUUGUCAAUGCGCUUGUAGACAUGGAGGUGCUUGAAGUCGGCGUCUUGGUUGUCGCCCCGAUACAUGGCGAACAUACGCAGCAGCUGCGCGGAGGAACAAACAGUUGGCGGGCGGCGGGCGUAGACGACGAAGAUAUGCGGGCGAACGGCGUGCGUACCUGAUCCUCAACGCUGGCGCCGCUCUCCGGGCGAGCCGCGACCUCCUCGGCGAUUUCAUGCCAUUUGUUGCACGCCAACUGGAUACGCCCCCAAUGGUUCGCCAUCGCCUUGGAGCCGCGCUGCAUGUAGACGCCUUUGAAGUACGGGUCAACGAGCUUCCGCUCGUCGAACUCGGCCUUGAUGCGGUCCCAGUACGUCUCCAAGCUCUGGUUCGUGUCGGUGGUCGGGUCGAGGCAGACGACUUUCCAUGCUUCGGCGAGGCAUUCCUCCUCCUUGAACGUCCACUUGAUGCGCGGUUCGCCUGACCUAGCCGCCCGCUUCUUCUUCUUCUAGCGCCCCUUCAUCGGAACAGGAGCCGGCUCCUCCUCCUCCUCCUCGUCCUCCUCCUCCUCCUCGGGUUCCUGCGCUUCAUGCGCGUCCUCGCCGUAGACGUAGCCGAGCUCAACCUCCAUGUCGCCGUUGAGAUCCACUACCUCGUCCUGGGUGGCGAACCCGGGAGACACGGCGGCCGCGGUCGAUCCUGUCGCGAUGAUGUCGUCCAUGUCAGCUCCUGUGUCGUCGGCGUCGCCGAGGUGCGAGAAGGGCAGCGGUCCACGUCGGAGAUGGGGCGUCGGUGUGGACGCGUAGGCGGCGGGCGGCGAGUAGUUGUAUGGAGGGUACUGCACGCCGACGAAGGCGGGCGAGGGUGUGCGCGUCGCGGGGUGGCCAUGGGGGAAGGUCACGUUUGGGUUGAACCCCCCGUGCGCGUCGCCGUCGGCGUAGCCGGGCGACGAUGAUCCCCAUGAAGAGCCAACGCCUUGCUGUCCCCAGGGCGCGUACUGGGCGUGGCUGACGGCGGGUGGAUUCAUCAUCCCCGCGUGGUCGACCGAUGAGGAAGACACCGCCGCACGCGCCGCGUUGUCGCGGGCCUUCUUGGCAAUGGCCCUGUUCCGCCGGUCGGUGGUGACUGCGUCGCGUCGCUGAACUUCCACCCUCCACUCGGCGCUCGACAUGCCCGGUGGCUUCGAUGGCGGCGCCCUCGGCUUCCUCUGCUUCGGCUGGGUCACGGUGCCAGUCGUGGUUGCCGCCACGCGCGGCAUGACGUACUUCUUCGGCGGCAUGGCGGCGACUGGAAGGCGAGCUGGAGGGGGUUUGGCGGGAGAAAUGAAGAGAAUGGCGGGAGGAAGGCGAGCGAGCGGGAGAGAUGCGAGGGAAAAGCGUCAAGAAACGACGGGAAAAGGUCCUCGGGUCGCUGCCAGGGCGGGCCCACGCGCCUUUUUCGCUUGCGCCGGCUCCCCAAGCGCCCCCCAGGGCGCCGGGUUCGGCCUGGGUCCGCCGGCACCAGUGUUUGCCCGAGUCGGCGAAAAACGGGUUUCUGGGGACGCGACUGGGCCGUUUUUUUGGCGCCGGCGCGAUAAAAUCACCUGGGGAGGGCCUGUUGGAGGCGCGGCUGGAGAUGCCCUAACAUCAUCCUAACUUCAAGACAUUAACAUUCACAACCUUCACUUGUUUUUGUAGUUAGAUUAUAUUAGAAGGAUAAAAAUCUAUUAUUUGAAUGAUUUGGACAAAGUCGAUGUGCUCCUAAUGUCAUGCUUCAGAGUUCAGAAUGGUGCAUCGAUCUUAUCUAAGCUUUAUCUUAGUAAAGCAGUCAAAACCAACUCUCCUACUCUCUUCAGAGUGUUGAUAUAGCAACAUAAGCUUCCCUCAUAAAAUUUGAAUGAUUUGAACAAAGUGGUUGUACUCCCGGUGUAUACUUUGGGUUCUAGCAUGAUGCAUCUAUCAUAACCGUUUCUGUAAAUAAACCAGUUAAACCCACAUGUUUAUCUCUCUUCAGAGUGUUGUUAUUAAAACAUUUGGAAUUGGUUAUGAAUUCAUAAUUACACCUGGAUAGCAAGUUAGCCAUAUUUCACAUGUUAUCUGUAACCUGAUGGGGCUAAAUUUCGUGUUUUGACCUUUUUUUGAAACCUAUUCGAGAUUUGACCCUAGUUUAAAAAAAAAAUCAAGAUCUGACUCUUUUGCUACCGCCAGGGACCAGGGCGGUAGGGUAGAACAGCCUACCGCCAAGGUCCCUGACGGUAGGGUUGUAUGCACUACCGUCAAAAACCUCCUAAGUAUUGAACACAGUGCGUGCUCGUGCCUACCGCCAAGCACCUUGGCGGCAGGGUUGUGCAGGCUGCCGCCAGCCCAGUUGGCGGUAGUGAUGUUUUCUACCGCCAAAGUCCCUGACGGUAGGCUGUUAGACCCUACCGCCAUGGACUCUGGCGGUAGCAAAAGGGUCAGAUCUCGAUUUUUUUUCAAACUAUGGUCAAAUCUCAAAUAGCUUUCAGAAAAAGGUCAAAACACGAAAAUUUGCCACCUGAUGGUUACAUAUAACUUGUGAGCUACAGUGCUUCACAUAGACAUAGCGCAGAGGAUAACCAAAUCAAGGAGGAUGCAGAUGAUUCAUCAAUUUUCUCUGCCAGCCGCAUUCAUCAGCUUUGUUUAGUUGCAAAUAUAAACACAUCUCUUUGUUUAGUUGCAAGCAUUAACAACUCUACCAAUGUCCAGCGCUUGCAUAUACUCUAGUUCUAUUUUUUAAAGGAACAGUUAAAGUGGACAACCAAAUGGGCAUCUGCAUACAGAACAAGCGGAGGCACCUGCCUUUGUGUCUAUGACAUGUGGGCCCAACAGGUGGCUGGCCCACAUGUCAGUGAUCCAAAGGCAGGUGCCUUUAAGGCAUCAAAGCUGCGUCCAGAACAAGCUGUAGUACAUGUCUAUUCAGAUCAUCCAGAAAGAAUAUGUAGGUGGUCAAGAUUCCGACAUGACCAAAUAUCUCAAAACUCUGCGUGGUAAAUUAAGUACAAUGUAUGUUGCGUAACUAACUGACAAACAGAAUCCCUGUAUGGUAAAUAGAUGGAACAAUAUUGAAUAAAAAGUUAAAAAAACAAGGCAUUAUUUAUAGAGAAUGCCGAUCAAGUGAACAUACUAAUGGAAGGGCUUUUCGGGUGCACCUCCGCAGCAGUCCGGAAGGCAGUCUCGACAUCACGUCGCUUGUGGAUGGAGGAUCUCACACCUAUACGGAUGUGCUCGAGUGCCAGCAAGUGUUCCAUGCCUAGUGGUGUAGCACCACCCCACCUGUCACAUAUUUCUAGGCCGAGUAGCCGUAAGGUUGGGCAUCACCCUUGCCUCGAACUCCAUGCAUAUUGUAGCAUCAUCACCAUCUUCAGAGAAGAAUCUAAGGUCCUCUAGUAUUGGGAAUAAUCCUGUGCAGGCAAUGGCAGCACCACUAUCUUCAGUGAUAUGUGUCACCCAGAGACAUAGUUCGACGAGGGAGGGCAACUUUCCAACGAUAUUAACCUCUUCAGUCGACAAAUGCUCAACCGACAAUGACAGGCUACCAAGGCAAUGGAGGUCACCAAUCCAAUUAGGAAUUCUCUUCAACAACCACCCUCGUAGAUAAAUUUUCUCGAUAUGGAGAGGAGGGUUGGACAAUGAGUAUAUCAGGUCACAGUAAUGCUUAGAAGGCUCCCCAUGGACAAUAAGUAAUCUGAGGUCACAAAGCUUUCCAAUUGAGGAUACCAAAGCAUGAACUACCUCCACCGUCAUUUUGCCGAGGAACACCAAGACCCUCAGAUUGGUCAGCUUGCCAAGGCCAUCAAUAUCCUCUAGCGAGCUCUUACCAAUAUCAAAGCAGUUUAGAUCACGUAAUGAUUUAAUGCUUUUGAUCCCUUGAGGCAACCCUAUACCCUUUGGAAGUGUUAGUUGAGACAAUCGUGGCAAGAAAACUAUAUCUGACGGGAAGUUUUGCGCAGAUCGGCUAGCUAUUUGCAGUGUCUCCAAAUGAACAAGCUCUUGAAUUUCGGUAGGGAGAUGUACGAUGCAUUGGAACGCAACAACUUUCAAAUACCUUAGUUGAAACAAUUGACCAAUAGGUGUGAGUUGUACCCCUUUUGUAUGAGAAUUCAUACACCAGAACCCGAAGGUACUUAAAUAGCGACAGUGGAGGUGCGUACUUGGACUCCCCAAACUGUGAAAAUGAGCGAACAUGUGACAUGCUAGUAUGAAUGACCCUUGGUGAUACAUCAUUAGAUCUUGGAUUCAAGGACAAUCUACGAACCUUGUGCUCAAAGGCAUGCAUUCUUGUAACAUCUUCCCAAUUAUAUGCCACACUGAUAAAAUUUUCUUCUGCACACUUGUUGAUGAUCAAAUCAAGCAUCAUAUCAUGCACUUUGCAAGACACCACUGCCUCAUCGCCCAUGCUCUUUUCAGGUUGAAUCAUGCUUCUAUUGAUAAGCUCAUUAAAAUAACUCUUCGCAACACCCACCAUAUUUGAUCCAUGAGUAUUACUUACAAAGCCUUCAGCUACCCAUUGUAGAACCAGAUCACGCAUCAGAAUCUCGUGGUCUUCUGGAUACAUGCCAAGGUAUAGCAGACAUGGACAGAGAUGUAGAGGAAGAUGCAUGCAGCUAAGGUUUAAUAUACUCCUCAUCUCUUUCAAUGCCGGAGUUGCGGCAAACUUGGCACUGAGAGAAUUUCUUAUGCUCUCCCACUCAUCCCUUGAUCUUGCUUGGUGACUAGCUAAUAGGCUGGCUAUAGUGAUGAUUGCAAUUGGCAAUCCUCCACACUUUAAGUUGGGGUGGCCAGUCAUAUUCAGACCCAAAUACUCUCUUAAAGAACAACUUUCUUGAGUCUUGUUCUUUGAGGGGUCUCAUUAUGUAAACACAUUCACGGUCACCGUGGCAUGCCCAAAUAGCCACAUCAUCGACUCGUGUGGUUACUAUUACUCUGCUUGCAUUAGCAACUUCUGGAAAGAUACAACUUAUAAUAUUCCAUGCUGAUUGAUCCCACAAGUCAUCAAUGACAACUAGGUACCUGUUAAUUAUUUGUUCAUGUUAGAUAUGUCAAAUUAUGAUAUGUUUACAUGAUUGCAGAAGCAAUGAAAGCACACAAACCUGAUAAAGCACAUAUACCAAUAAUAAAGUAAAAAAAGGUGCAAGCAAAAAGAUGAUAUUCCUUACAUUAAUUAGCAUGUUUGCAUAACAUUCAAUCCUAAACCAAAGAAAAAACUAACGUCCACACGUGUGUCAUUUUGCACAUCGCCCACACGCCUUCAUUACCACUCAUUUUGUCACGUCAAAAUAGAUGACGUCAGCAGGAAUCUUUUUGGUUUCAGCUUAGAAACGUUUAUCUCCUAAUUAAAAAAUUCAAUUAAAAAUACGUUUUCACCAUUAAAUUCGUCUCGACGAGAUCUUCAAAACUAGACCCCAUGUUGAUAUGCUUAGACGAAUUUUUUUUUGCCCAAAAGUUGCCAUGAUGUUUAGAUUGUAGUUGCCAUAGUGCUUAAACUAAAGUUUCCAUGUGGCAAUUUUAGUUUGUAGAGCAUAGCAAUUCUAGUAUUUUGAUAAUGACAAUUCCAGUAUUUUGACCAUGAAAAUUAUUUUUUGUAUGAAUCAUGGCAAUUUUAAGUGCAUGUAUCAUGGCAAUUUUAGUUGAUGGUUCAUGGCAAGUCUAGUUUCUUAAUUCUCCGUUUUAUAAUAUGUCAAAAUUUACUUUGAAAUGUAGAAGAAACUAGCUGAAACAUAUCAUGGCAACUUCAGUGUAACACCAUGGCAAUUCAUGUGUAAUAGACAUGACAACUUUUAACCAAAAAAAAUUCAUUGAAAUAUAUUGAUAUGAGAUCUAGUUUCGAUGAUCUCAUCGCGAGGGAUUUAAUGAUGAAAACGGAUCUUCAAUCGGAUUUUUCAUUUAAGAGAUAAAACAUUUUAAAAAUUAAAAUCCAAAAAGAUUCUCACAUUCAUGCAUGCGGUGACGUGACACAGUCUGUGUGUUAUAGGGCGUGUGUGCAGAUUUGGCUCCCACCACACGUGUGGGCGUUAGCGUUGUCCAAACCAAAUCAAUUCAUGUACAAUCUGUUAUAACUCUCUAAAGAAAUUUAACUUAUCUUUCAAUGCUCAAAAACAAAAAGACCACAACCUUCUAUUAUAUAACAUAGAAGAUAGUGACAUGAGCCCGUACAUUUAUGUACCUAUGUAAGUAAUACACUUUUUUGGAUCCAACUACUAUUUGCCAUCAAUCUAUCUAUAACCUGAAUCAAUUUAAGUUUGUGCCUAUGCUAAUUCAGCUUUAGUUACAUAAUCAAUGGAAAAUUAAGAUAAUUAAUCUUCCAAAAUUUAUCUCUUUCAUAUACGUUCAUCUAGAAUUUGCCUAUCUUUUCAUUUUGGUCAUUUUUACUAGGCUCGUGCGACAAACACACAAUUCUAUAUUUUAUUGGCAUUUAUUUUAUUUGAUGACUUUGCUAUUUAGAAUUUGCUAUUUACUCUUUACUUAUUUCAAAUUCCAUAACAAUAACUUUCUUGCAAAAAAAGUCCCAUCUUUGAUGUUGCGAAACUCGAGCCGGAGUCAUGGCAACACGGAGGGUACCGUUUGGAGGCGAGACGGGAUUUGAGACGUUUGAAGUGUCAGCAUACACGUGCAUGUGUGUGCGGCUCUAGCUACUAUCUGUUACACUGUUUAGUUAAUAGUCAUCAGUGGACUAUAGUUAAUAGUUAAUUUAUGCAUCUUAAAAAACAUGCUAGAUUAGUUACUAAGCUUAUAUUAGGUGACUGUUUGACUUCAAGACUAGAGUCACCAUGCACAUGCAAUUGUCCAGUUUUUUAUUACCUAAUUGAUCUUUGAUCUGAUAAUAACACUAACAUCUAGUCAAUGAGUGAGAGCAUAUAUUAGGACUGUGAAGACACGAACACACUGAUCAUGUAAAUAUUGUAAUAUAUACAAAACGCUGAAUUAUUGAAAGAUAGGUGAUAAGUGGUUUAUGGUUAAGCUACAAUUUGUGUUGUGUUUUGAAUUAGGCCUUUGUUCCGAAACAAAUGAUGCUUGUUACUCUGACCUAAGCAAUAGCUUAUAAGAAGUUAUAGUUUGAAAAGACUAUUUUAUAACGAAUGCUAUCAUUUGCACUUGAUCAACCAUAACCAUUUCUUACGAACUAGAUAUAAAUAUAUGGCUUUGCAAUUUUUGAUGUGGUUGAUCGCUAAAUGACUAUUUCUGCUAUGCACCAUCUGAUCUAAGAACGAAAUUUGUGUAAGUAUAGAUGGGAUGUGAAGAUCUUAAUCACACAACUAGCAAUAUCAAUUAAGAAAGUCGACUGACCUAUAGAUAAAGCAUCAUGAAUUUUGGAAAUAAGAUAACUUCAUCCUUUCAAUGGCCAAGCACAAAAUACCAACAAGGUAUGGCGUCCGGCUAAAUCAUAUCUCUUGCAUUAGUAAAGAUACUUAAAAGUCACUACUCCUUGCCAAAAAAAUGGAUUUGUGUAAUACCACAAUUACCACAAGUAAUUAACCACCCAAGUGCAAAAGUGACAAUUAGAUCAAAAGAAGUACCUAUUAUGUGUGAGAUGUUCUCUAAGACAACCAACGAUAUCUUGGACCUCACGAGCAUGAGAUGACUCUUCCUUCAUCCCAAGCUUCAAUUGUAGACCACUAAAGAGGCUUGCCAUAUCAGGUCUUUGGGAAAUGGAUAUGAAUGCCUUGCAACUGAAUUGUCCUCCGAUCUCAUUGUAUACUUGUUUGGCAAGUGUAGUUUUACCAAGACCCCCAAAUCAACAAUAGCCACCACCUUGAGGUUUUUCUGGGUGCCUGUCAAGCAACUUACAAGCUCUUUCUUUGGGCCAUCAAUACCGACAAGGCCUGCUGCCUCCUUGUAGAUCGCUGACAUCCGAGGAUUGACCAGAACGAUGCGAGAAGUAGAAUAGACACAAUCAUCAAUCUUGUACCUUUGUAUCAGAACAACAAAAAUAAUUAUGUAUUGAUUUCAUAUGAAUGAUCUUGAGGGCUAGGAGUUCCUAUAUUGAAAGUAAAAUAGUCUUGUACCGCAUGCGACGUUCAUUUGCCUCUAGAGCAAGAACCUUGAGCUCCUCCAUUCCAUGAGCAAUUUGAUGACGCUUCCGCAACAUCUUGAGACAUUUAGCGGUCUUCUUGAUAAAUCCCUUUUUGGCAUCAGUGCCUUCAAGGUCGCGCAUGAAGUCAUCUAUGCAAUUCUCCAUGUCAUAGGACAUCUCCCUGACAUGAUCUCUCCAGUUUUUGGCCAAGGGGUCGAGCUCGUCCAUGAGCUCAAGCUUCUCAAGCAGGGCUUUUAUGGUGCUUAGCUCAUCCUUGAGGAACGAGGCUUGUCUCCUCACCCCUGUGAGCUUAGUGUACUCGUCGCCCAUCAGUGUCGCGAGCUUGCUGAUGAGGGGGUUCAUCACCCCUAUAGUGGCGCUAACAAUUGGUGGAGGCAUCUCAAUCCGAGUUCACGCAAUUGAGGUACGUGACGGAGAUCCGAAGCGAGGCGGUGCCUCUUAUCGAUGAAGCAGGCGACAACUUUGUCCAUUUCCUCUUGUUAGAGAAGACAGUGGCACGGCGGCAAAGUCCAAUAUGCGAGGCGGAACUCGAGAGGGAGACUGCGGCUGCACGUAGUUGUAUAACAUAUUAUGGGCAUAAAUCAAAAGCUCAUCCUGGAGAUUCUUCUCCCACUAAAGUACACAAUGCGUGUGUGAUAUCAUCGUUCGCUUCAGCUAGUUGACGGACGAUCACUGUCAUUGUGUUUUGAACAGUUAGUUUUAAGUAAUGUGGCUGGACUUGCACUUCUAUAUUUGCUUAAUAAUUUGGCUAGACUUGUACUCGGCUAUGUGUUGUAUUAGCUGGGCGGCAAGCCACUGUAUAUAGGAGGCAGCCUUUUCUGCCACUUGCUUAUCUUUGAUAUUUCUGUUUUGAAACUUUUUUUCUUUGAAAAGGGGGACUCCCCGGUCUCUGCAUCAAAACGAUGCAUACGGCCAACGAGAUUUUAAAGUCUGAAGCAAAAGUAAAGGCAAGCUCACAAAGAGCCAAAGGGCCAAAAACAGAAAAGCCAAAAGGCCACAACCGGCUGGCAUAAGAAAGAUAGGAAAACUAAUUGCCUAUCCUAUUACAUGACCGCCAUCCAAACCGUUUGAAGAUAUCCCGUGCUACCAUCUCCCACCGGACAGACCUAGUAACCAAACGCUCCCUGACCUUCGUCGGAGUGAGUAGCGACCACAUACGAUCAACGCAGUGGCGUGGAAGAUAACCUGCAAAAAAUGAAUAUUUGUUGUUCUGUUAAAAAUCAAAUCAUUUCUGCAGUUUCAAAUUGCCCAUAAUAAAACACAUACUCCUACGCGAAUGUGUCUAGCUGUUUCGGACUCUAUCCCAUUAAGGCCUCCUUUGGUUCAUAGGAUAGGAAUGCUAUAGGAAUAAGAAGAUCAUAGGAAGUGAGAUGACAUGUAUCUCAAUUCCUAUAGAGAAAGAGAUGUCAUUUGAUGCAUAGGAUAGGAAUUUUUCCAUUGAGUCUUUGCUAAUAUAUUUUUUCCUCCAAAAUAUGAAUGAUUGAUCCCUAUCCUACAUAUGAAUAGGAAUUCAUUCCUACAAACCAAAGGGCUUCAAAGAAAAAUUUCCUAUACAAAUCCUAUCCUAUAGAAAUUCUAUGAAAUUCCUACAAACCAAAGAAGGCCUAAGUCACGUUCCAAAUAACGUGCUGACAGAAUUCAGGGGAGUAAUGUUAAAGGCUAUGUGCACCGUCCGCCACAAAACCUUGGCCAACGGGCACUCAAGAAAAAGGUGUUUGAUAGUUUCACCCCGAUCACAAAAACUACACCUAGUAGAUCCUGUCCAGUUGCGCUUUGCCAAGUUAUCCUUAGUUAAUAUUACUUGUUUAUGUACAAAUCACAUAAAUACUUUAAUUUUUAAAGGAACUUUAACUUUUCAAACAUAUUCGGAAGUAGGACCGACGCUAGAGUUGAUAACGUCGAGAUACAUCGAUUUAACCGUGAAUUCUAUUUUGAAACUUGCACCUGAAUAUUAUUUAAAUACGCCGUAUCUGAAUAGUACUAGUUUUCAGCAUUUUCCCUUGACCAGUCGCUGAGGAAAACAGAGCUGAACAACCAAUUUAACUUCGUAAGCGCCCUCUGUUUGUGCCCUUUAGAUAGCAACUACUGUCGAUGAUAAAUAGACCCUCACUUUUUUAUUCUACAAUGCACACAAACAAGCGUGCGUAUGAUAUUAUUGAAGAAGAAGAGGGCAAGACACCAACCACGCUACCUCAGAGGCAGCUAGUCCACCAAACAGGACUCAGAGUCACAAUACCUUUGUGAGCAAAGUUGUGGUUCUGAAUGUCAUACUCCAUAGUUCAGAAUGGUGCAUCAAUCAUAGCAAAAUGGUUUAUAAAGCUGAGACAAGAUGGCCUGUUAUGUUUUAUCUCUCUUCAAGAUGAUAUAUUAUACUCCCUCAGAUCCAUAUUAAUUGUCGCUGCUUUACUACAACUUUAUACCGUUUCUGAAUUCAGAGUUACACGAGACAUCAAGUUAGCCAUAUUCCGCAGGUUGUAGAUUUGAAUAGUCUGUGACUUGAUAUAUGCAUAGGAAGAUAUUAGUUACGUUGCUUCCCCUAAAAAAAAGUUCAGUGCUUCACAUAAGAUGAUUAUAAUCAAGCAUCGAUGUUCAGUUGUACACAUCAGCCUUAGUUGCAAAUAUGAACACAUGUCUUUGUUUAGUUCCCAACAUAAAAAAUCAGAGUAUUACCUACAAAUUUCAUAUAUACACGUAAUCUAAAAUAACAAAAUAAUGUGGAGGUAGACACACGAUAGGUGUUUGUGUACAAAUCCAAUAAAAUUGAGAAGAAAAAACUAUUCCUUGUCAAUUUUUCUAGAAUAUGCAUUCCUUGCCAAAUUGAUCAGGGGCACUGUGCAAAUUAUUGAAGAAAAAGGAGCAACGACACAGUGUCUAAAAACUCGUAUAAUAUGGCAAUACACGAUGAGGUCUGGUACAUAAGAACAAUAUCCAGUAAUAAAUUAAAUAACAAAAUAAACGGUGGUAAAAUGGCGAAGGGAGAGUCUGCUCUUUGUUGCUAUAGUUCCCCCGAUCCAUGUUCAGCUGUGUGCCAGUCCAUGUGACGAAUACCUUAUGUUUUCUUUUUUCCCGGUGCUUGCCUUCGAGCAAGUCGAACUUGCCUUUUACCUCCAGUGUUCCCCUGUUUAGCCAGUAGGCUGAUGUAGGCACUUCCAGCCUAUGUCAGCGAGCUUUUCAUGUAUCCAGACAUUGGUUUCAUUUUCAAUAAAAAUGGAGCCCUUUUCAUCUUUAAAAAGAAAAAUAGCGAAGGGAUGAUGCAAAUUAGAGUGGCUGAUCGAAAGAGACAAAUUGCUAUCUGCGGUGCUCGUCACUGUCAGUUUUCAUAUUUGGGAUUCAGGCUGCUAGUCAUCACUUCCAGUGGAACAUUCCACUUGUUGUGCAAUCUGACUCUGCAACAGCUCUCUGCUGGUCGUUCUCAGCUACAGUGAGUAUGUAAACACUAUUAUCCCUGAGUAUACAAUGCCUUUCUCACGCACAAUAGGGAGUAAAGCCGGACCCAUCGACGGUAAAGGUCGGAUGGCCUGGGUGCAGCUCUAUACAGUUUUUGAACGCAGAGUUCGCAUCACGGAGCACUCGUUGAGGAAACCGAUCAGAGUCACUUCCCAUAUGUACGGCGACAUGCUCGAGACUUAACAGGUGCUCCAAGCCAACUGUCGCGGCACCACCCCAGUACCUCUCGUUGAAAUGUAGCCUGAGCCUUCGGAGUUUGGGCAUAGCCCCUGCCUCAAAGGCAAGGCAUGCGGUCAGAUCACUACCAGCGAAGCAUGCAAAGUCCUCCAGAACUGGGAAUAAUCCCAUGGAGAUGCUCGCAACAUUCCUUUUUCUCCCUUCUCUUGGAGCGAAGCUCGACACAGACAAAGAGAGGUGAACGAGAGAGGCCAUCUUACCAAGAGCAAGAAACUCAUCGAUGGUCAUCUCUUCAACAUCCAGCUCCAGGCGGUAGAGACAUUGGAGACUGCAAAUCCAUUUGGGAGCUCUGGACAUCUUCCAAUCAUCCAGUUUAAAUACCUUGAUAUGGCGAGGAGGAUCUGAUAAUGAGGCCAGCCGUUUUUUUGUAUCUAUGACCUGACCAUGGAUGCAGAGAUAUCUGAGGUCAUGGAGCAUUCCAAUGGAGGACACCAAGGCAUCAACCCCUGCUGUGUUCAAAUCACCCAUGGCACACUUUGAGAGCCUUAGGCACCUCAGAUUGGUCAGCUCACCGAGUCCCUUGAUAUCCUCCAAGGAGCUCCAUCCCAGUUCAAACCCAUCUAGAGUGCGCAGUGAUUUCAUGUUCCUGAUCCCUUUAGGCAGAUCUGUCUUCUUUGGAACUACCAAGUGGGUCAAGCGACGCAAGUGAACUAUAUCUAUGGGAGUUGUAUCCAUUUGAUAUGUAAUUCUAGUGUCUCCAAAUGCACAAGCCCUUGCAUUUCAGUAGGGAGUUUCACGUAUUGGUCAGCUGAAACCUUUAAAUACCUCAAUUGGAGCAAUUGGCUAAUAGCUCUCAGAUCGAUUUCCUUGUGGCAUAGUUCCCCCAAAACUUCAAAGUGAAUGACUCUGAUAUACUUACAAUGCAAAAGAGGAGGUAUGUACUUGGAUUCCCCAAACCGUGCAAGUGAUCGAACUUGUGAUAGGCUAGAGGCAAUGGUCUCUGAUGCUGUCCCAUCUGCUGCGCUGCCACCGGUUAAAUUCAGGGAUAUACGGCGGGUCUUGUACUUCCAGGCAUGCUCUCUUGCCAUGUCUUCAGAACUGCAUUCAACUCUGAUAAAGUUGUGCUCUGCACACUUGCUUAAGAUUAAAUCAAGCAUCAUAUCAUGUAGACAUGUACUCUGCAUGAUAACAACUCUCCAUGAUCAGUACGUUCAGGCUGAAUCAAGCUUCUGUUGAUAAGUUCAUUGAAAUAGCUCUUCGCAGCAACCUCCAUAUCUUGCCCAUACAAAUUAUUGAUGAAGCCUUCUGCAACCCAUUGACGAACCAAAUCAUCCCUCUCUAUCUCACGGUCUUCUGGAUACAUACCAACGUGCAGAAAACAUGCCCGGAGAUGAAGAGGAAGAUGCAUAUAACUAAGGUUUAAUAUACUCUUUAUCCCUUCCGUUGUGGGAUUUAUUGCAAACUGGGUGCCCAGAGAAUUCCUUAUGGCCUCCCACUCGUCCAUUUCAGGACGACUGGCUAAUAGGCUAGAUAUAGUAAUGAUUGCAAGUGGGAGUCCACCACACUUCUUCAGAAUUUCAGCUGAAAUAUCUUCAAAUCGGGAUGGACAGUCAUCUUCAGAUCCAUAUAUUCUAUUAUAAAAUAACCUUUUUGAGUCUUGUUCGUCGAGGAAGUUCAUUCUGUAAAUGGACCCUGGGUGACUGCAGCAUGCCCCAGAAGCCACAUCUUCCACUCGAGUGGUUACUAUUACUCUACUCCCUUUAUCAUUUUCUGGAAAGGCACGGCUAAUAGCAUUCCAUACUGAUUGAUCCCACAGGUCAUCAACUACAAUAAGGUACCUGUCAAUUGUAUGCAGACAUUACACUAUGAUUGGAUAUGAAUAUAAGUUGCAGGGGAAAGUACCAAAACAUUCUAUUGAACUUGAAUGAAAUUAAAACCAAUUGGAUUCAAGCGAAUCUGCUAUCGAGGGUUAGAUUAGCAGGCUCACAUAUUUCUCAAAACUAAAUGGCACCAUCAGAUAAUCUCAAUAAGACAAUAACAUCCAAGUUAAUUUCGCUCACUAAAUUCUCAGGCACAAAAUAUAUGCUAUUGUAUUUCUAUCUUCUAAGCAAAAGGACUAAUUAACUUCACAUUAAUUGUAAAAUGUACGAUCCUUGCAAUUAAAGAAAAUUGCAUCAGCCGUUCACAAGAGAAAAUCAGGGAAUUAAGCAAGCAAGAAAGAAAGCAUGCAUGGAUCAUAAUGGAUGGUCUUCCUGUAGACCUGUACCAGUCGAUUGCACGGACAAGCAUCUAAGCAUAUUACAAUAGAUAUAUGCUGUUGUAUUUCUAUGUCUUUCGUUUUGAUAAUAACUGAAUCCUUAUUCCUAAGGCUAAAUUAGUACUUACUUCCUCCAUUCCUAAAUAUAAGUCUUUCUAGAGAUUCCAAUAUGGACUACAUACGGAGCAAAAUGAGUGAAUCUACACUCUAAACUAUGUCUAUAUACAUCCAUAUGUAGUCCAUAUUGAAAUCUCUAAAAAGACCUAUAUUUAGGAACAGAGGGAGUAGUUCACAAUACAUGAUUAUUGACUUCAACGGCCAAGCUACAAAACUGUCCCCUGUUUCACUGUACAAAACACAGCUGGGUACGUAAGAUGCAAAUAUGCAUGCCAAAAAAAGAAAGAUGCAAUGCAAGUAUGCAAUAAGCUUAUUUGGAAGUCUUGGGCUCCAAAGAAGUGUAAGUUUUUCCUCUGGCUGGCAGCGGACAAUAGAUGCUGGACAGCGACAGAUUGGCACAAAGGGAUUGCCCCACCCGAGUCAAAGCCCCAUGUGUGAUCAAGAGCUAGAAACGAUCCAACACAUUUUGACGAACUUUGUCUUCUCUAGACAAGUUUGGUGUGUGCUCGUCGCUCUGGUCUACCGGACUUCUCGCCACACACCGACGAUAAUGUGUUGUGUGAUUAGUGAUUGAGAAUCAAUUCUUUGCCUUCUGGUAUCUUCAAACAGGGGCUCAACUCGCUGAUCACUUUGGGGGCCUGGAUGUUGUGGAAGCAUCGGAAUGAUUGUGUGCUUAAUGGAGCCACAUCGAGUGUCAACCUAAUGGUUAGUAGGAUUUCGGAGGAAGGACACCUCUACUGCUUGGCCAGAACUAGGGACAUGGCGCAACUUUUGGCUUCUACCACCUAAUGGUCAUUCAUUUUUUUUGGUUACUUUGGUCGUUGUUUUUUGUAACAGGCGCGGGUUUUUUCUUUUCUAGUUUUGGGUAGAGUGGCAUGUGUCGGGAUUUCCUUGUAACCUUUUUUUCUCCUUAAUGCAAUGAUACACAGUUCUAAUGCAUAUUCGAGAAAAAAAACUUGCAGUUUAUAUAGAGCAACAUUAUAACCGCAUUCAUGUUGAUUGGCAUCAUGUAAGUGUUAAACACUUGAUAACGUGACAGAGGAGAUUGGCCGAGGUAAUUAGCGCGGCCAGGUUGUUAGCUAGGAGUGUUAGCUCCUAUCUCUUGUAACCAUACUCUUAUCCCUUCUCCUCCAAGAUGUAAUCUCUCCUACAGAAUCUCAACAAUGUAUGCCCUAUCAGGGAUGUGCGCCCCUGCCUAUAAACAUGUAGGUCAUCCCCUCACAACGAGGUAAGACGUUUUCCGCAUCCGCACAGUAAGAGCUUGUGCAUCAGAAAAAUGUUAUGGAACAACCAACAAUAUGCACAUAUGCGCCAUACAGAAAAGAAAUAUGCAAUUUAAUUUUUGAGCAGUGCAGCUACAACCUCUUGUCGGUUUUGUACAAUAUGUCUGCUCAUAGUAUUGUGCAAGUCAUUUUUUUUGGCAUCAGCACACCUUCUAAGUAAUUACACAUACACACACCAAAAAUCCACAUUGACAAAGUCUCAAUGUGUUGUGGAACUAAGAUGCAUUGACAAAAGUCUGAUGUUAAUACUACAAAUUUGGUGUUAUAGCCAAAAAAAUGCAAGAUUUGUCAUGGGCCCAAACAAUAGAACAAAUACCUCACACGGAGGCAUCUAAAAACUUCUUAAUAUGUGUCUACAGACUGCCACAUCGUGCUGUAAAGACAUUUUCUUUCCUUUGGAAAAUGUUGAAAGUGUGGUCAUACUAUUGGAUACAUUCGGGGUAAAGAAAAUGGAAUGAGCAAUGUUUAGUCCCUUUUUGUAACAUUUUGUAAACUGCCACAAAAAAUCAUGUAGAGACAUUUCUUAAGUCACUUCACUAAUUGACUUAAACCACAUUUUCAUCAAGAAAGCUCAAAGAUUAGCGAAUGGCCAAUUUAUAACAACAAAAUUAAAAGGACAACGACCAACCUCAUUGAAUGACCAACGACGAAUCCUAGCUAACCUAGACCUAGCACAGCAUGGGAACAAAGGACCCGAGGCCGGAUGUGCCACUAUGGCCACUACCCACUAGUGCUCGCCAGCAGCCACACUAAUGCUGGAGAGAGCUCACGACCAAACCAAUGAAAGAGCAAGACAGGGGAAAGGACCCGUGUAGGCAGAUCUUUGGCCAGUCCAGAACCAAAGCAAGUCGGCAGACUCCGCCAAACACCAAUCACAGCGACAGGGGACUCGCCUUCCACAGCUCCAACCAAGAAUGGUGAAGAGGAGGAGCACAUGCCUUCAAGGACCGCUUCACGACCACUGCCCCACACCCCAAAACACAAUCAUGCAACCAAUACCACCCCGGCAACCCACACCAAAGGCCUAAGAAGUGAGGUUCGUUAUGUAGGCAGAUCAGUGAAGGCCAGCCCGGCCAAGCAGGGUAAUGGUCGUCAUCACUCAUCAUUACGCAUAACAAUUACAGUAUGGGUAUAGAAGCAACUUUCUAUUAAAUGCUAUGUUAGUUAGAUGGGAAAGUUGUGAUAUUGUGUUUGAUGAUUAGUUCUAUACUGAUUUUAGAAUGUAUGUUCAAUUCUGCAGGAGUACAUAGACAGUAUAAUACCUUCAUACAAUGUCUUAUAGAAUGUAUCGUCUCUUGGCCAUACAUAAAAAACCAAUAAAUAUGCCUCUACUUUGCAAUACAAUCCAUGUUCAAAGAAGCGAUGAAAUGGGCAAGGUUGCAAGGCUUUCUGGAAGGUGGGGAAGUUGUGGGUUGAACAAGUAGUAGUCCUUCUCUCAUAUUACUUUUUUCGAUUUCUACUAUAAAAUAUAUGAGUAUAGGUUCUCUUUAAAAAAUAAUGAGUACAGGGAUUGUGGGCUUGUGCGGUUCGACUAACUCUCUAAUCACUAGUCCCCAGCCGACUAAAAAAAAGGGCAGCCCGGUGCAUGUAGCUCCCGCUUGCGCAGGGUCCGGCGAAGGGUCCGACCACUUUGGGUCUAUUGCACGCAGCCUUUCCCUACAUUUCUGUAAGAGGCUGUUUCCAGAGUCCCGAGCCGACUGACUACCAAAAAUCAGAACUUUGAAAUUUAAAUACAUACAAUGCUUCUACCUAAUCAGAACAGUUUUUUGUGAUUAUCCUAGAUCAUGCAUCCUACAAGCUUAUAAAUGAGCACUGAUUUUUUUUUAAAUGAGCAUUGAUUAAAUCACACAAUUGUUCAAAUUCAACAUAACAUGCCAAUGCAAGUGCAUGGGUGGUUAUUGAAGUAAAUUAAUACCUGUUAUUUGUGAGAUGUUUUCUGAGGUCCUCAAUGAGGUCUUGCAACUCACAAGCACUAGAAGAACCAUGCAUCCCAAGUUUUAAUUGUAGACGGUUGAGAAUCCAUGUCAUAUUAGGUUUUUGAGAUAUGGGAAGAAACGCCAUACAGUUGAACCGCCCUUUGAUUUCAUCAUACACCUGUUUUGCAAGUGUAGUUUUACCCAGACCACCGAAUCCAACAAUGGACACCACCUUGAGCUUCUUCUCGGUAUCAGUUAACAAAUUGACAAGCUCUUUCCUUGGGCCAUCAGUACCUACAAGACCAGCUGCAUCCACAUAUAUCGCCGACAUGCGAGGAUCGAUAGCCACAAAACUAGAACUAGAAUUGCACUCAUCGAUCUUGUACCUGAAAGAGGAUGUCCAGGAAGAAAGUCACACUUAAGUCCUUUAGAGACAGUAGUAGGCAAGCAAAAUUCUUCUUUUUUUUUCCUUUUUUCUAAAAGAUUGUGAAACUCCCGUCCUCUGUGCCUUCUAUUAUUGCAAAGUUUUAAGAUCCAACAUCUCACACAUGAGUAACAAAUGCCACCAAGGCUAAAACCGAAAAGAAACAAUUUUUCUUUCGAUAAUGAACAACCACAGAUCAGAUACAACAUAUAGCACAGAUAUGCCUUUGUAAUUCUAGGUGUGUUAUAUACUCUACAAAAUAUACAAUGUACAGUAUCUGCAUAUUUUUCUUGAGAAAAGGGGGAGAAUGUGCACCUGAUGCGCCGUUCAUUUGCCUCUAGUGCAAGAACCUUGAGUUCCUCCAUCCGGUCAGCAAUCCGAUGACGCUGUCCCAACGUCUUGAGAUGUCGAACGGUCUCUUUGAUGAAGCCUGCCUUGGCAGGAGCACCUCCAAAUUGGCGGAUGAAGUCAUCAAUGCAGUUAUCCAUGUCGUAGGACAUCUCUCUGACGCGGUCUCUCCAGUCUUUGGCCACCGGGUCGAGCUCAUCCAUAAGCUCCAUCUUCUCAAGGGCAGCGUUCAUGGCGCUCAGUUCCUUCUCGAGGAAGGACGCCUGCUUCCUCACCCCUUUGAGCUUACUGUACUCGUCGCCCGCCAGGGUGGCGAGCUUGCCGAGGAGGGGCUUCAUUACCCCCAUCGUCGCGCUCACCGGCAUCCCGACCAAAUCCUCCUUCCGCUGUUGGCUCGACAGCUACGGUCCCCUGCUGCAGGUCAGCUUGACGGAGAUUUGAGGAGAGCCGGCAGCGUGGCGGCGAAGUCGAACAGCCGAGGCGGAGCUCCAGAGGUGGAGACGGGAGCUGCUCGUGAUGCCUUGAGAUCAGUCGGCUAGGUCGGGUGCCGGGAUGUGGAUGGCCGUGCCGGAUCUACGGCGGGAGGUGGAUGGCCGUGCCGGAUCUGCGGCGGGAGGUGGAUGGCCGUGCCGGAUAUGGGCCGGCAAGGGAGGAGGCGGUCGUCGCGAGUCAAGGCGGAGGAGGGCAAGAAGUAGCAGUGGUGAGAUCUGGGGCUGACGAACUCCUACACUCGCGUGCUGCAGGUAAGCGAGACGGUGCAGUGGUGUCGGUCGGAGCAGCCGAUGGCGCGGCGGCGAAGUCCAGUGGGCGAUGCUGAGCUCGGGAGGUGGCUGCUUGUAAUGCCGGGAGGCGAGGCGGGGUGGGCAGGUCCCCGGAGGUGGCUGUGCUGGAUCUGCGAACGGAGGUGGAUUGGCUGCGGCGUAUCCGCGGCCGGUGGUGGACUACGCGAUGGCGCGCGGGCAAGCAGUAGCAGACUAGCAGUGCAGUAGGAGUAGUGAUUUGAGGGUGACGAGCCGACGACCGGAGGGAGUCACGUCAAGUCAACAGCGCGUGCAAAUGGAUACCGAAAUGACUGACAUGCCCCCCGUCCCAUGAUUACCCUCCGUUCCUAAAUACUCCUACCUACUACUAGUACCUUCUUUCCGAUUUAUAAGAUUCAAUUUAAAAAUCUCACCAAUCAAGAUAGAUGAUGAGUGGUGAAAUAAUUUUCGUGAUUUGUAAAAACACUCAAUUAAUGCGCUCUUUUCCCCAAAGAAUUGUGUUUACCAAUACAUUAAUUGCAAGGCAUGCAUACAUGAAGUAAAUGCAUUUGUCAAGUUUCUCAUAAUCCUUGCAUGCAAUGAAUUAAUGCAUCUUAAAAUCUGAGCAUGGGAUGAGGAACAAUCAUAUUGAGAUUUAUAAAAUGGGAAACCGAAAUUUUUAAGAUAAGCCCUAUAAACCGGGAAAGAGAAAGUAUAAGUCUUUUUAGACAUUUCAAAUGGACUACAAUAUAUAGAUAUAUGUAGACAUAUUUUAGAGUAUAGAUUCACUUAUUUUGCUCUCUAUGUAGACAUUUGUUGGAAUCUCUAAAAAGAUUUAUAUUUGAGAACGGAUGGAGUAAUAUCCUAAUUUACAAACUAAACGUGCAUGGCUAACCUGCGGUUACCCGUCAGUUCUUUCAGAACGAGGAUGCAAGGCUCGGAUAUGUUUAGGGCUCCUUGAUUCUUUUUGGAGGAUCAGAAUCCUUAAGAAUAUUUCUUAAGUUGAUUGUUUGAUUCAUGGAAUUAAAUUCUACAGGACUAUUUUCUAAGGAAUUAUUUGUACUUUCUAUUGUGGAAAAUCUAGCGCACUCCUACCUCUUUUUAUAAUUCAUUUGUUUUUCUAAGCCAUCAAAAACAUUAUUUUAUUUGUGAAAAACACAUUGUUAAUUCUAUAUAAUUUAAGUGGGCAUGCCCUUUAAUCUUUUUUUCUUAAUGUACAAGAAAAACCUCAAGUUCGCCUCAAGAAAUAUAAACACUAGUAGACUGCCCGUGCGUUGCCACGGGCAUUUGAAAAUUUGUAUUUGUUGCAUGUAUAAAAUUUUACAUACAUAGAAAGAUCGGCAAUAACAAAUAAAAAAGUAAUUGGAAUCUAAUUCGCUUGCAAUGUACUUUGAUAAAAAAAAUGUAAUUCGACCCUAUACACCUGAUGCACAAAAUAAAGAAGGUGGUACACAAACAUUGAACUCUUUAUUCUGCAAUGCAUUACAAAUGAUAAUAACACUUGAAUGCCUUUUUUUAGUUCUUAAAAUGGAUUGCAUCAUGAAAGCAUGUGCAUUGUUAUUAUCCAUUAAUUAAAAUCAACACAUGACGAAACGCUGCUGCUCCGUUUUGCAUGAAAAUUGUCAAGCAUGCUUGCGACACUAACACAAACAUCUAUGAAAAAUUUCAGAUUUUUUUUAGCCAAAACGCCUCCCCGCAUAGUAGACCGUGUUAGGUAGAAUCAUGAGCGAGUGAAUCUCUGUUGUAAAUUUCAUUAUAGACCAUGCAUACAUAUUAUUUGCCCGUACAAUUAGGGCGGAUCAUGUGAUAGUUUUCACUAUUAAAAUUGCCGAGUAGAGUUUCUUGGGAACUCGGUAAAGCCAAAUAAACUCAGCCAUGCGUUUGCCGAGUUCCAUACUCGGUAGAUGGACUGUUGGCCAAAUAAGCCGCAAUCAUGGGUCGGACGCGUCGGGCGCAUGUGUGGGUGCGCGCUCGGCCUGUCGGGUCCGCGGUGUAGGUCCACGUGUGUGCGUGCGUGUGGUGCCCGGGGUGCCCAUGUGUGUGCCUAGGCCAUGAUGUUGGCGACCUGGGCGGGGUGACCGCGCAGGUCUGUUGCGGGCUUAAUAUGGCGAGCGCGAGCGGGAGUGCGUCGUGGGCGCGCGGAGCGGGCCGGACCUAGCGGGGUCGUGGCCGAGCACUGGCCCGGGUAUAAGAUCGCCACGGUGAUCGUUGUAACAUGUGUGGGACGAGUUUGUUGCUUGGGAAAAAUACCGUUCUUGCGGUUGCGUUCGUGCUCCUGAAACUCUCGCCGUGUCCACCGUGUUCUUCUUCCCCCCCCCCCUUCUUCUCGGUUCAUGCUAGAGCGGGAGAGUGAGGUGCACAGAUAAAGAGAGUGGUGAGCUAGGGCAAGGCUAGGGUUCCAACAAUUGGCAUCAGAGCCCGGUUUCGAAGGUGAACGCCGGCGGCCAUGGCACUCGUACCGCACGAUGGCGGUGGUGGCUCGUUCUCACUGCCGGUCCCACUACUGACCACGACGAACUACACCUCCUAGGCGAUCAAGGCGGAAGCUUUUCUUGGUGCCUAGGAGCUGUGGGGGUGGUCGUUCCGACGGAGGGCACGACGAUCGACGCCGACAAGAGCAAGACGGCGCGGGCAAUGCUUCUCGGGGUGCUGUUGGCGGAAGUGCUGCUGCCGGUGUCGACGAAGCCCACCGCGAAGGAGGUAUGGGACUCCCUCAAGGUGCACUUCGUCAUCGCUGAUCGGGUGCGGGCGGCCCGGCUCGCGUCGCUCCACGGCGAGUUCGAGCGGCUGCGGAUGGCGGAUGACGAUGACUUGGACAGCCUACGCGGGAAGCUUGGCACCAUGACGACACGCUAUGCAUGUCUGGGGCCCGUGCUCGACUACGCUGCGCUCGUGAAGAAGAUGUUGGACACGUUCCCGGACCGCCUCUACCCCGCCUUCGCUAGAAUUGAACAAUUUUGCAAUGUAGAAGAGAUGGCGUACGAGGAGGCUUUGGGGCGGCUCAAAGCAUUCGACGAACGGACCCGGCGUCGCAGGCAGGACGGGGGUAGGCGCGACGAUGAGGAGCUCAUGCUGACUGUGGCGCAGUGGGCAGCUCGGCAGUGUCGGCAUGGCGGAGGCGGCCUCGACCACAACGAUGAUGGCGCGGGCAGUACGACACAUUGGGCGGCGGAGGCUAGCGGUGCGGACGUUGCUACAGCUACAGCGAGCGCGACCAUUUCAAGUGCGAGUGCCCCAAGCUGCGAAAGGCGCCGGCGGCGGAGCACGCGCUCCUGGUGGAGAUCGGCGACGACCUCGAGCCUGGAAUCCUUCGAGUUGCAGCUUAGGGGGUGAGUGUUGGCCAAAUAAGCCGCGGCCACGGGUUAGACGCGUUGGGCGUGUGUGUGGGUGCGUGUUGGGCGCGUCGGGUCUGCGACGUAGGUGUUUGUGUGUGUGCAUGUGCGUGUGGUGCACGGGGGUGCCCGUGUGGGUGGACACCGUACGUGUGUGUGUGUAGGCCAUGCUGUUGGCGAUCUGGGCGAGGUGAUCGUGCAGGUCUAUUGCGGGCUCAGCAUGGCGAGCGCGAGCGGGAGCGCGUCGUGGGCACGCGGAGCAGGCCAGACCAGGUGGAGUAGUGGGUAAAUUAAUGUGCGGGUCAUGGCCUAGUGUUGGCCCGGGUAUAAGAUCGACACGGUGAUUGUUGUAACAUGUGUGGGCGAGUUUGUUGCUUGGGUAAAAUACCGUUCGUGCGGUGGCGUUCGUGCGCCAGAAACUCUCGCCGUGUCCAUCGUGUUCUUCUUCUUCCUCCUUCUUCUAGGUUAUUGCCAGAGCGGGAGAGUGAGGUGCACACACACAGAGAGAGAGGUGAGCUAGGGCAAGGCUAGGGUUCCAACAUGGACUAACUAAAUUUCUACUUCUUAACUGGCAACAAUUUAAGGAUGUAUAGUUAGCUUCAGAUUCAGAUUAUAAACAAAAUAAUGUUGAAAGAAACAUCAAAUCACCAUAAUUUUGGAAGGUAGCCUUUUACACGGAAAUAUCACAUAUAUUUGUUGAAAUGAAUGAUCAUUAAACUCCAUAAGAUUUAUGUCCUAAGAAUAUCUAAGACAUGAAUCUAAAGAGCAACAGUAAUUGAAGAACAACAAGCACCUGAACAUCCUCAAUGGUGAGACUUCAGUUGAGGUUGGGAUGUGCAGCCGGGAACUUCCAGAAGUCAAACAUCCAAAACUGAUCCGUAGAAGGACAUGCAUAAGCAAAUAAGAGUAACUAAAAAUAUAAGGCAAACAUAUAUCCCCAAGCCAUCUGCACAUGAUCCCGCCCGCAGUUCUUCCACUGUCCCUAAUCUAAUUCCCAACUCCAAUAAUCAGAUGAAUAUGAAUAAUACCAUGAGCAAAGAUUGAUUUAAUGAAAAUGAAGCACAAGCGCAAACAUUGAUCUAUUAUCAAAAAAUAAUAUGUACUCCCUCUGUAAAGAAAUAUAAGAGCGUUUAGAUCACUGUGAUCUAAACGCUCUUAUAUUUCUUUACAGAGGGAAUUACGAAUGGGUUAGGUUCACCCAUAGGAUAGUCAACCAUCAACUACCAACUAUGUCACCAAAGUUGUGUGUGCAUCAACCAUUAACUAUGAAAAUGAAUGAUUGAUCCUAAAUUCCACGCCGCAUGAGCUCUGACAUGCUUGUGUAGUUGGUUCAUACAUGCCUCUAUAUGAUUUUUCCAUGCAUUAUCACAUAACUUAUGUCACUUUGACACUCCCAAAAAAGAAGAAAUAUUCAAAAAAAAAAAGGAAGAGGUGGGCACCCGUUCGUGUGCGUCGUGCCAUUAGAGGCAACAAUUCUUCUUCUCUUCCUCCAUUAGUGGCAAUAUAUAUAGUAGGUGGCUCAGAUCCGAUUUACGUGCUUCUAUUUGUUCCCCCCUUUUCGAAAAGCACACUCGCUUUGGUCAGUCAAAGUGUCAAACAAAACAUAUAUAUCUUUAGGAGAAAAAACAAAAGAUAGAUCACAUCAAAUAAAUAGGCAACCAUAUUUAAGUUUCCAAAAUAUGCAAGUUUUGAAAGAAUUGGCAGUAAAAAAGCCUCUCCCGCUGCUCUAUUCUAUGACAGCAAGGAAAGAGCAAGCAAGUGAAUAUGCAUACACACAUGCAUGAUGCAUCCAUUUCCUUGCCUUACAUACGCAUUGCCAUUGUUGCCCGCCCAUGCAGUGGAGGGCGUAGAACAACGGCAAGGAAAUCAAUCCAACCGCUCUGCUCACCACACAAGACCACAUAAACCUCGAUGAUUGGAACUCGGUGUGUGACAGAUGCGACGAGAUGCUCCUGCUUAGUUUCAAUCAUCUAAUCCAUAUAUCUUUGGAUGUGUGACAAAAGGGCGCGGGAGGCAUGGAAGGAGGCUGACGAUGGUGGUAUCAAUGACGUGGAGAAAGAGUUAGGUAGGGUUUCGCCGCGGCGGGCGGGGUAGAAUAGCGAGGCAGCGGUGGAUGUUGGUACUGGGAGGAGUCCAGCUGGCGUUGUGGUGGCGACAACGUCGCAAGAGAGAGGAGAGGAGGGAGACGUCAGCGAGCGAGGAGGUUGAAGGUGUUGGCGCCGCCUCUCCAUCGCAGCGCCGCUUCUUCUUCUACCUCGAGCUGCCUCGCACAACUCUCUCUCUCUCUCUCUAUCUAUCUCUUCGUUUCUCUCAGACAAGAAGACACACACGCAGGGUGAAACUCUACACACACACACACACACGCCAAGGAAGAAACCAGCACCAGUUUUGCCGAGAGCUCUCUCCCUUGGUGACACAAAUGCUACAUCUUUGCCCAGCCCUCACAGCCUCUGUUCCAUUACUGAAUCAGAUGACUAUUUAUACAAAGUUUGGCACUCAGCCAAGACCCACACACUCACGCCAUACGCCACUANNNNNNNNNNNNNNNNNNNNNNNNNNNNNNNNNNNNNNNNNNNNNNNNNNNNNNNNNNNNNNNNNNNNNNNNNNNNNNNNNNNNNNNNNNNNNNNNNNNNNNNNNNNNNNNNNNNNNNNNNNNNNNNNNNNNNNNNNNNNNNNNNNNNNNNNNNNNNNNNNNNNNNNNNNNNNNNNNNNNNNNNNNNNNNNNNNNNNNNNNNNNNNNNNNNNNNNNNNNNNNNNNNNNNNNNNNNNNNNNNNNNNNNNNNNNNNNNNNNNNNNNNNNNNNNNNNNNNNNNNNNNNNNNNNNNNNNNNNNNNNNNNNNNNNNNNNNNNNNNNNNNNNNNNNNNNNNNNNNNNNNNNNNNNNNNNNNNNNNNNNNNNNNNNNNNNNNNNNNNNGUCGGAGGCCUCAAGUCGUGGGCGUCGGUGAUGGUGGACUGCCAGGAGUCGCGAACUUGGACCGGGAGAAAUCCUUGGCUGGUUCUCUGGCCACGGCGGCGGCGACACCGGCCGGUGCCGUUCCCCUCCACGGAGGCGUCGUCGAGGUUCGGUUCCUCUCCCUUCCGCCUCUUUCCUGGGAGAAAUCCCUUGUCUUGCUUAGACCGGACGGCAACGGCGCGGCGUGCGUCGCCUCCUUCUUGAAGGUGCUGUCUUGGGCAAGGUGGGAGCGUGCAGUGGGGCAUCAUGGUGGCUGCGUCUUCGGCGAGGGAGAUGGAACAUGGUGCUUUGUUUCUGAAUUAGUGCAGCUCGACAUUCCUUGAUUUGUUCAGUUGCAGGUCAGCUUCUGCUUGUCUGGCGUCAUUGCCUUGGGCAGGGAGGGGAUAGGGGUCCUCACUAGCAACUGCUCGACGCAAUGACACGAACAUGGCUGAUUUCUCCGGGCCUGAGCUAAUUCCAAUUGUGGUGCUCCAUCUCUUUUCGUUGUUUGUUUGUUCAGUGACAACUCCUUUGUGCAUUUUUCCCUCUUCGUGCUUGUAUCAGUGAGCCUCGGUGUGGAUAUCCUUGGUUUCCUUCGUGCAGCGACAGGUCGGGCUGAGUAUCUCCUUUGGUGGCCGGAACCGUGUCCGUUCUUUGCUCUAGGGUGAGCAAUUCCAUCUUCCGGCGGUCCGCGCCUUUCGGGCCAAGGCGAGGGGCAGGGGUCCCCUCCGGAUUUGGAGAACAGCGACAUGUUUUCGGUGUCCACCUUCCUGGGUUGAUGAGGGCGCGGUCCUUUGUCGUUGGGCACUGGCGCUGUUUGAUGUUCCUCUCUGUUCGCUCUUCUGGGUCAAGUUCACUUGGAGGACUCCGUCGACUACAAGCUAGAGCUUAUUUAGGAUUUUUGUGUAGGGCUUGUAGUCUUUGGUGCUUGUAAGCUGCUGGGCAACACUCUGUAUCGGCUGUAGCUUUUCCUUUCCGUUCCGUGUUGGUUGUAUUGAUGGCCUUGUGUAAUCCCUGGCCGGUUGAUGGCUUCGUUAAUUCAAAGCUGGGCUUCUCUGGAGCCUUCGUUCCAAAAAAAAAUUAUAUCUUCAACAAUAUAUAUUGCAAGCUUAGCUUUGGAGGCCCAAAGGUGACAAAGAGAUUUAUUUACGGCUUUUCAUCGAUGGAUGCAGGAGAAAGAAGACUUUGACAUCCUAAUAAUUUGGUUGAAAUUUUCUUUUUCUGUAAAGGCGUGUCGGUAAGUACCUACGACAUUUAAUAUAUGCUCAUAGGCCCUUUUGCCAAAAAAAAGCUUAGCUUCGGAUGUUGCAAAUUCACUAUCAUGAAAAUUUGUUGGCAUGAGGCCAUUGCUUCCGAGAGCCGACAUUGACCGUAAUUCCAUGUACGUGCCUGCACGAGAGCAAUUUUGUUUUAGAGUCCCGGAUUCGCAUGAUUAUUCAAUUAUGUUGACUUUAUGUGCAUUAUUGGAUGAAAUGUUGUUUUAGGUCAAAAGCGUCACCGGAAAAAUAUAUGUUGCUAACUACUUACUUGACUUGAUGUCUCAGGAUAACAUAUAUGCCUCUGGCAAACAUCGAACUAGCCCCUCCACUUAUCUUUUCACAGGACCUUGUCAAGAGGACAGGGUGCUCCUGCGAUGUCAUAAAAAAAAAUAUAGUUCUCCAAUUUAUACAAAAAAUUAAGCCGAAAAAACACAAACCAACUUGAAUGAUUAAGGGACAAUCAAGCAAAAGCCAAAACUUUGAAAAAGAAGAAGAAGAAAACAGUACAGCCGAUAGUGACCAAUCUUGACCUCCACCUCCUACUGUCCUACAUGCCCACUACACAAAAAGAAGUGAGCGAGAUCUUCUGAGAUGCCUCCAAGAAGGAAACAUGACGCCUGUGGGUGCCGUCGUCGCCAGCAUCAACCCCCGUCAAUUGCUAAGCUUUCACCCAAAAACUGCCCACGACCCCACGUCGAUAGGUAAAGUUUUCACCCAGAAACAACUCACGACCCCCUCCCCCUAACCUUAAUUGGGGUAGGGUGCGGCCACACAAGCAACCACCACAACAACCAACGAACCAACCAAUCAUGGUUUGGUAGAGAGGAGGAACCCUACAAUGACAACUCCACAAGGAAGGCGCUAUUGCGCUGUUGUCACCGGAAUCCAUCGAUCCCCAUCGAAAACAUGGGUUUCUCCCAGAGCCCUACUCCCCUCCAGUUAACCAAGCCUCGGAGAGGAGGCACAACCACUAGCAGCUGAGAGCAAGCCGCAACCUCCACCGCACAAAAAUGGUAAACCAUGGUUGUCGAGUCUGAGAACCCCCCGACCAACCCGCACCAACACUAGGAAGACAAGACCAUGCCGGCGCACAACAACACACCACAUGGGGUCGAAGCCCGACAACCACAUAACCAAUAAGAAGCCAUCCAAUGACCUACCACAAGCUCACCACGCACUAACCACCGCUAGACGAGGAACGAGGGUGGUUGACCAGUACCCGCAACACCACCACAACAAUUGUUCCACCACGUGCAGCAAAGGCCUCGACCACGCCACCACCACUUGCAUUGGUAGCAGACCAACACAAUCUAGAGAAUAGUCGUCAUCGCAUUGCUGGAUGGCUCCUGGCACCUCCUCGAGAGGAGAGAUGACACAAAACAGCAACAAAGCCACCACAUCAUUGGGAGCUUCCCGCGAUCACCAAAGCAUCGGGACGCCACCCGCACACACUAGUCGCCGACCCACAACGCGCCAGAUCCACCAUGUUAUAUCAUCACUCAGCCUGACCCCUAGCGUCACUACAUUACUACAGAAGUCACUAGUGGCAGGAAAAAAUUCUCCAACACACCUGACACUAGUAUGUGCAAUACCAGUGGUGGGCAGCAAUGGUAUCCGUCACUGAUAUGUAUUAGAUCAAUGGUGGGACAGGAAAUGUUACCCCCACUGGCAUGUAUUAGACCAGUGGCGGCAACCAUUUCGUGCUUACCAUUGGUAAUCUUCUCUAGAUCCAAAAAAUAUGUUGCCGUGGCAGCGAAAAUUGCUGUUGUAGCAACUUUUUUGAUUGUGUGGUGGUACUUUCGGACAAUUUUAGUCUCAUCUCAAUACAGGGCAUCACAUAUUUAAUAAGUAGCUGAGAAUAGGCAAGCUAAUAACAUUAAACAAGUGACUAACAAUACAUAGUCGAGAAAGUGUGGAACUAAACAAUAAUAGACAAGCGUUCAAUCAUACGAAAGUACAUGUAUCAAGGUCGAUUGUCUUAUCUGUUGCACUAUUCUAUAUCGGGGCUAGUGGUGGUGAUUGAUUUUUACAAGGUUAGCAUAGCAUCCUUAAUUGCCUUCAAGUGCGCCUCACGUUCAUCCGACUCAUCUUUGCUGACUUUGGCAUGGAAGAACCUGGUUGACGAGCGGACCUCCUUGUUGAUGACAUACACAAAAGAAUUCUGGAUGCAUUCAAACUCUUUUCCCGAGUUGAACGGCGUACAUUGUAGGUAUCUACUUCAUUUGAUGACGUCAUUGGGACGCUUGAACGUUGUGCUCAAACGUAUGUACUCUUCGAUGAGGAGACAGACAUAGAAGGCACACUUCACGCUACCAUUCGGUUGCUGUCUGCAAAUGAAUUGAGUGUGCGCGAGAAGAGUUCCUGACCAUUUCAAUGGUGCUUCCUCACGAUGUGCCCUUCGGUAUUACUCCAUUUCGAAGUAACAUUCAUUCGGAAGAGCAUGAAGUAAGAAUUGGACAUCGUCGGUUGUAUCUCUAUAUGAAUCCAGUGGCUUCUGUGCGAAUGGAUAAACAUACCACGAAUAUGAACAAGUUUAAAACUUUGAUACAUAAAAGCUUCAAGAACUUUACAGAAUAUGACAAAGUUUAGAACAUACCCCAAUAUUAUUUUUGCAAUAUGUAGUUUUGUUGAAUCUAUAAACAUAUUCUCUUAGAAACUAGGGGUUAAAGUUAUUUUUCAAGGUUGUAUAGAAGUGCCAAUAUCCAAACCAUACCCUUUUAGAGGAGGUGAACCCCACCCCGGCUUAAAAAUAAGCCCCUCAUAAGUCCAACUCUAGCCGAACCCCUAUCAGGCUAUAGAGGAGGAUAAUUUCGGUUUUAAUCCUUUAUGUCGCACCCAGCCGAAGUCCUAGACCGAAUAGAGGAGGAUAGUUUUUUUACUUCGCCUCCUAUCCGGCACCUAUAUUUACUCGGCCGCUAUCACUUGGAGAAAAAAUCCCCUCCCACCCCCGUUGCCUCACCCAACCCCACUCUAGCGCCGAAUCUACAUUGGCGCCAUCCUUCCCGCCAUCGCCGGCCACCACCCGCCACCGCGGACUCUCCAUAGGACCCGCCGUAGUCCUCACCCACCUAGAUUUGAGCCUCUCUCGCACCGUCGAUGGUGCAGAAUCGCAGAACUACGGUCGCCGCCACCGCCACCGGAUUUGACACAUCCGACCGUCACCGCCGCCGCCGUAUUUGACGCAUCCGACCGCUGGUGACUGCGCUUUUGUCAUGGAUUGGCCGGGUACUGAAGCGCACAGCCCGGGAAACGCCUCUGUGCCGCAUGCAGGUAUGGCCUCCUCCUCUAGUCGCUCGGAUCUCACUCCCCGAUGGUUCCCUGGCAAAGACACGCAGGUCGUCGGCCAGGCUUGGCACUGGCCCAACAGCUCGUCAGCUCCUCAUUGCCAGUCAUAAAAAGUGACGGCUGCCUGCACGAGGUGAUGUGCCAAGUUUCGACCACGCGAGAAACACCCUGGAUUGGUGUUCUUCAAGUGCAAAAAAUAUGUGGUGAGUGUGAGUUUUGAUUCAGUUGUUCAUCGGAUUCAGCGCAAUUUGUAGCUCAUUUUUUGCUUAAAUUUGUGUGUAGGAUGAAUGCAAGUUUUGGUAUUAGGAGGAGAUUACAUCGAUCUAUUGACAAUGAGAAAUUUGAUAGAUGUUCGUACACUCCUUGCUAGAGUAGAGACUAGAGAUGAAACUAGAUACGACGCAAUAUCGAAUUCGUCGGAAACGAAGAAGAAAGAA
Molecule: long non-coding RNA, 52154 nt
Filed under: Triticum aestivum (bread wheat)
Lineage: Eukaryota; Viridiplantae; Streptophyta; Magnoliopsida; Poales; Poaceae
Description: long non-coding RNA (TAES_LNC009975)
Rfam family: MIR1120/MIR1122 microRNA precursor family (bases 19815-19929)
Source: RNAcentral